Molecule: long non-coding RNA, 48203 nt
Filed under: Triticum aestivum (bread wheat)
Lineage: Eukaryota; Viridiplantae; Streptophyta; Magnoliopsida; Poales; Poaceae
Description: long non-coding RNA (TAES_LNC014174)
Source: RNAcentral
UCACUGUUAACUUCUAACGCAUAUGAACUCAAUGUGACAUAAUACAUAUUUCAAUCAAACUAGCGAUCUAGAAAUGCACAAGAGCCCUAUAAACCCAGAGAAUAGGGCCACAACUCCAAAAUAGGGCCACAACUUCAAACAUCAACCACUAAAUCAUGGUCAGUCCAUGUUCAAACACAAUAGUCCAAUCACAGUCAGUCAGAGUUCAUUAACCAGGACAACAUUACAUAAUCCAUAAUCGACCACAAUGUAAAAAAUCUCAUGACGGCCACAGAAAUUAGGCAGCCAUCGUUCACGGACUAUCGCAUCUUACGGAAAAUGCUGAAACAUCUUUAAGCAGAAGGAAAAAAAAUUCCACAUAAAACAACAUACACAAGCACAAGAAUCCAUAGGCUACGCGGAAAUUUGACCACCACAGCUCUUGUCAUCUACCCUUAACACGCCAUCUCCUUUUGAUUCUCCGGGUGAGGCAAUUAUUUACAGCUAGCGACAUUUUAUGGCGGCAGGAGGACCGAAAACUUUCCAUAUGAAUGAAGCCGAUCAAAGGAACUCCAGCCACUGGGUAAUCAGGGUUGAACACGAUAGCCUCUUGGUGCAUUAGAUCAUUUCAUUUGUUCUUCCAACAACGCAUGCUGCUCGAAGUCGAAGUUGAAGGGCAUUGUGCAGACUGGCUCAUCACGAUGUCAUGCAGUGAUGCCAAGUAAAGAUGCGCAAGCGCGCCUUCAACCGGCCAAAAGAAGGGAAAAAUCAGUAGCAUGGAAGGAUAUUGGAGACGGACAUUUUGCUAGUCAAAAAUAUCGACCGUCAACAAUAGAAACACCACCCAACAGGCAACAAUACUGGAAAUAACUUCCACGUGGGCACGUUGACUUGUCUUCUUCUUCCUCGUUCCUCAUUUCCUCUCUUUGGCGAUGGAUACAUCCUCUUCAUUUUCCACCUGGCUGACACUUGCAGUGGCUGCCGCAGGGGAACCCCAAAAGCAUGAGCACACCAUGAACGCUAACAUCGACCCGGAUAGGAUGGUGGAGGUAGUUGCGCCGUCGCCGGCCAAGCCGUGCUGACUACGGCCGGCCUCCAGCUUGUUGCUCCAGUACCAGAGAUGGUCAUGACCCCACGUGUCAUUGUGUGUAGAAAUAUUUUUAGGAAGCUAAGUUUCGGAGAAAGGACUCGGUGCAAGGAUGUUUAACUUCCGGAAAUGUGCGGAGGUGGUAUGAAGAGUUAAAUUUUGAAGAAAGGACUACCGGAGAAGCCGACGCCAGCCUGCUGCAGCGUGGCUGGCUGGGCUUAGCGGGCCUGUUUCGGGCCUGGCCGGGCCAGGGGUGGUCUGGUAUGCCCUGUUGCCGUGUCCGGACGGUGACCGCAACUGUGUCGGAGGCGCGGGCCUCUUGCACGACGGCGGUGGAGGUGGUUCGCUCCCGCUCAGCCUUGGUGCUGUUGCUCCCGUCGCUUGGCACUUCUCUCCGGUCUUCUUGGUCUCGUGUUGGUGCUUACGCUGAGACAGCGUGGGAGGCGGCGCAACCGCGAUGGCACAUGGUGUUGGGUGGUGGUUUGGCUGCAGUGGCGGAGCUUGCCAAAAAAAGCUGGGCGGGCUGAAUGGGCCAGGCUGCAAGGAAUUACUACUAGCUGGCAUUCUACAACCCAUUGGCUAGCUAUAUUGUGAGAAAAAGCUGCAGAGCUGGGCGGGCCAUGGCCCAUUUGGCCUUGCCUAAGCUCCGUCAGUGUUUGGCUGGUCGGCUCUGGUUGGGUAGUGGGGUUUGGAGUGCAGGAGAAAUCCUUGCCGGUUCGUCCGACUCCGAUGCGGUGACACCGACGGGUGCCACCAUUCCUUCCUGGAGGGUGUCGGUGGUAGCCAUACUCCACUUCCCUCCGCGUGUCAGGGGAAGUCUUAGGACUCGUCCGGGCAGCAGCGUCGUCGGCGUCGCAUUCCUUCUUGAAGAUGUUGCUUGGUAAGCGGCAGAUCGGAGCCUCGGGCUGUGGUGGUUUGUCUCCGGAGGGCGCAACGGUUGCGGUUCAUCCACGCUUUGUCGAGCUGCCGUUGUUGGCAUUUGUUUCUUCUUUUUCUUUUGGGCUUGAUGUGCUGCUCGCCCCAUCAAUGCUAUGUGUAUGGUGUUUGUUGCUUUGGAACACAAAGCGAGGGAAACCCUUUUUCGGUAAGCUCUAAGGUCUGGUCUUGACAGACUAAAAAAAACAUUUUUGCCUCUCUGUGUCCGUGUGAACAGACCACCAAAUGUGAAAGAGAAGAAGAGCAGUUGGAGGAAACCGAGCAGAAAAGAUCUACUCCUGCCAAACUAUAUUCUAUCUAGAAGAUUACAUACGUAUGAAUUAGUAUACAAUCUCUAACAAUGACUAGAUCUAGAUGCUUGAUGGUCUGGUCUCAACAGAUUAAAACAAUUUUGUCUCUCCAUCUCCAUGUGAACACCUAAUAAUGUGAAAGAGAACAAGAGCAGUUGGAGGAAAGAAUGGAAAAUAAUUCAGAGUGGGCUCCAGCUUACGGCUUAGAUGGGGACUUAAACAUUGCAUGUAUUAUUGCCAGUGGGCCUAAUCAAGCAUUGGAGACGCCUAAUCAAGUACACACCGAGACGAGUUGACCCGAGAGGCACAAAUCACUCCGGCCGGAUCCACAAUACUUGCUGCUUCUCUCUUUCGUCUCCGGCUCUCUGCGGUGACUACUAACGGUUUGCGGCGGCCACAUCGCAAAGGUAUUCUUCCUCCUCUUCUGUUCAAUUAUUUUGUUCCAGCUAGCUCUCUUCUUUUUUACCAUUCUUUGUGGUUUUGAUGUGGAUCCGGGAUGUCCAGAGUUCGGUCUGUUUAACACCCGCUUAGCAGAGGGAAUUGCGAACUUGCGCUCUUGAUCGACCCAAGCAAGGUGAUGCUUUUGCUCAUCAUUGCAGUCGUGUGUGUAGAUCGAGAGCAAGGAUAGGGCCAUCUUUUGCUCGAUCUGUUCCCCCCUCGUCAAUCUCUUGUUGCUCAAGUAGGGGAGCUACAAAGACUUUUGCUUGGUGCAACGCUCAGAGUACAUCUAAAUUGCUAUGUCCAUGGUCAGAUUUUUUUUGUUUACUUUUCCUAAUUUUAGGAAAGCAACACCAAACAAGGCACUUAUCCCAGUUGUAAUAAACAAGCUAAGAUUUAUGAGUAGUGCACUUUGGUCACCAAGAACAUCCCCAAAUUUGACCGAAAGCGAUUUACGUUUACCCUAAUACUAACUACAGUUUCGUCGAAAUCUUGAAAAUCACAUGCAUGGGACUGUGGGAUGCGGUGAUGGACUGGGAAUCUGGGAUACCGAUCACCAGUACAUUGGUAUAUUUUUUGUUGUUGCAAAAAUCAUCGGCGGGCCACAGCCUGGUUCAGCCUCUAUAUAUGCACUAGCUUCACUUGUGGUUGCUACUCCAUUGAUUUGGAAGGUAAUGCAUUUGGGAGCUGUUACUUUCACGAACCAAAAAUAUACAGCUUUUGCUCAUCCUGUGGCUCUUUGAAAGCAAUUAGUAUCUUCGAGCUAUCUCCUCUUCCUCCUCUCUACAACUUUCUUCUUCUGUUUGUAAUGUUUUUUGGUGAUCCUGAUGUGAAUUUAUGAUGUGCAGAACUGGAUCAAUUCUCCACUAGUUCACCUUGGGUAGCUGUUGCAAAGGACUCUGCAAGUUGGAUUUGAGCAGCUCCUUUCAGGGUACCAUUCUUCUAUUUCUGCUUUGGAAAACUAUAAAGGGUGCACUGCAUAUCCGCACAGUAAUCAAUCGGGUUCUGGUUUUGCUCCUUCGGUCUUGUUGUGUGCAUUGCAGAGUUUCAACCCAAGGGCAAGCGAGAGCAGAUACGGAUAAAGGUUGUGAUAUGGAGGUUGCCGCUGGGGCGUUGAGCCCCGUCCUCCGUAAGCUUGGUGAGCUACUCGCCGGAGAAUACAACCUGGAGAAGCGAGUAAAGAAAGGCGUACAAUCGCUCCUAAUAGAGCUGGAGAUGAUGCACGCCAUACUUCGCAAGGUUAGCGAGGUGCCAUCAGACCAACUCGAGGAGCCGGUCCGGAUUUGGGCUGGCAAGGUGAGAGACCUCUCUUGCGACAUGGAAGACGCUGUUGAUGACUUCCUGGUGCGCGUGGAUGAGGGCUCAAGCAGAAAGCCAACGAACAUGAGGAAUCGAGUGAAUAAGUUCCUCAAGAAGACCACCAAACUCUUUGGUAAAGGCAAGGCACUUCAUCAAAUCUGUGAUGCCAUUGAAGAAGCUCAAGAUCUUGCCAAGCAGUUGGCGGACCUGCGUAAAAGAUACGAGCUUGACAUGCAUAGCAGUAGUAAUGGUGCUACCAUUGACCCCCGCGUUUUAGCUCUGCAUAAAGAUGUAGGGGAGCUUGUUGGCGUUGACUACACAAGGGAUGAGCUUAUCAAAACACUGAUUUGUGAGGACGGGAGUUCUAAGGAGCAAUUGAAAACGAUCCCUAUUGUUGGUGUUGGUGGGCUGGGCAAGACAACGCUCACCAAAGCAGUCUAUGAGAAGAUCAAAGCCCAAUUUGAUUGUGUGGCUUUUGUCUCUGUGGGUCAGAACCCAGAUAUCAAGAAAGUUUUCAAGGACUUGCUCUAUGGCCUUGACAAUGGAAAGUUCAGUGACAUUCAUAAUACAACAAGGGAUGAAAAUCUACUCAUCAAGCAAAUCAGUGAUUACCUUGUGGAUAAGAGGUAUGCAUCACGCAGUGCUAGUCCUUUUGCAUAUAUUUUGGAAAUGUGUGAAGUAGUGAGAUAUAUACUGAAGUUCAUAUCUUCAUUUCCUUAUUUGUUAUACUUUUAUAUCUACAGUAGUCUGUUCUUUUUUAGCAAAUUCUACUUCUUUCUGUUUUGCGCACACGCCUUAUUUUUGUUAGUCAUGUAUACUUUUAAGCAAUUUAUGUUGCAUUUCUUAAUAUUUUUGCAUCCAUAUCAUUAGUGGAUAUAUAUGCCUAUGGUUUACUUUAGUACCAGUUUAUCCUUGUUACAAACUUCAGUUGUAUAUAGAUGACUUUCCAACUAAUCAUAUUAAAAUAUUUGUCAUAGGUACCUCAUCGUAAUCGAUGACAUAUGGGAAGAAGAAAUAUGGAGAUUUAUAAAUUGUGCUUUGUAUAAAAACGACCUCCAUAGUCGGGUAAUCACAACAACCCGCAAUGUGUGUGUGUCUGAAGCAUGUCUCUCUUCCAGUGAUGACAUGAUUCACCAAAUGAAACCACUUUCCGAUGAAGACUCACAGAUACUCUUCCAUCGAAGAAUAUUUCAAAGCGAGGAGAAAUGUCCAGAAGAUUUGCAAGCAGUAUCAAGAGAGAUAUUGAAGAAAUGCGGUGGUGUACCAUUAGCCAUUAUUACAAUAGCUAGCCUUCUAGUCAGUAACCAAAGGAUAAAGCAGAAAGAAGAAUGGUUGCAUGUGCACAGUUCGAUGGGCCGUGGAGUUACAGAAGGUGGUAUUGUGAAGGACAUGAAGAGGAUAUUAUCACUCAGCUAUUAUGAUUUGCCUUCGCAUCUAAAGCCUUGUUUGUUAUACCUAAGCAUGUUUCCUGAAGACUCUGAGAUUAAGAGAGAUUGGCUGAUAUGGAGGUGGCUUUCUGAAGGGUUUAUCCAAUGUGAUAAAGAAGAAACCAGGCUGUUUGAGAUCGGAGAGAGCUACUACAAUGAGCUUCUGAACAGGAGCUUGAUCCAGCCAUCAAAAAUCAACGAGGAAGGAACGGUAGUAAGUUGCCGAAUACAUGAUAUGGUGCUUGACCUUAUAUGCUCAUUGUCAAGUGAGGAGAAUUUUAUCUCCAUAUUGGAUAAUGAUGAGUGGCAUGCAUCUAAUGUGCAUAGAAAAUUUCGCAGGUUAUCACUUCAUAAUAUCAAGGCAAAGGUUCAGAACCAUCAAUUAGAUAGCAUUAGCCUAUCAAAAGUGAGGUCCUUUGCUGUUUUUUCUCCGGUUACUUGUGAUUGGUUGCCAUCUCUCUCAAGCUUCCAAUUUUUACGUGUGCUGGAUCUUGGAAAUUGUGGAAGUGGCUCUGGUAUCUGUCUCAAGUAUGUCGGAAAUUUAAUUCACCUAAGGUACCUAGGGCUCAGGAAUACAAAUGUUCGCGAACUCCCAAUUGACAUCGGCAAGUUGCAGCUUUUGCAGAUACUAGAUAUAAAAAGAACUCGUAUAAAAGAAUUACCUUCAAGUGUUGUUCAGCUAAGAAAAUUGAUAUGCCUAUAUGUCGAUCGUAGAGUGAUGCUGCCAAAAGGAAUGGGGAAUUUGGUAUACCUCCAAAUGUUGAAACGAGUAGACUUAUCCUCAUCUCCUCACAUUGUGAAAGAGCUGAGCCAUCUGACAGAGGUUACGAAGCUCAUACUUUACUGCGACAAUAAGGACAUUGAUCUGGUCAAUAUGGAUAUGUUAAUUGAGUCCCUAGGCAACUUGCAAAAAUUGCGAAGUCUAUGGAUUAAUUUUGGUGGCAGACUGAAUGAUUGCAUGCGUGUAAGCUGGGUGCCCCCUCCACAACUUCAUACUUUUAAGUCAUGGAGCUUCAAAGAAGGGUCGUUCUUGAGACUUCCAAAGUGGAUUAACUCAACGUCGCUUCCCCGCAUCUCCACCCUGGAAAUAUUUGUGAAAGAACUGCAAGGGGAUGACCUUCAGAUAAUUGGGAUGCUGCCUGCUCUUCGGUCUCUGUACCUGCGUGCAAGUCGCGUGAUGGGAACGUUGGUUGUGAGGGCCGAUGCAUUCAGAUAUGCGAGAUGCUGCAAGUUCUUCGGGUUUCUGACUUCGCCGUGCCUUUUUCCACCUGGAGCUAUGCCAAGGGUUCAACACCUUGAGUUCAGGGUCUCCGCACUGUCGAUCGCGAGUGGUGAGGUUGACUGCAGCAUGGAGCACCUCCCUUCUCUCGAGCGUGUCGUGGUUUUUCUGCAGCGUGAUAAUUCCAGCAAUGACGGGGAGGAGACACCCAGGGCUUGGCUGAAGCGCGCAGCAGAAGCCCAUCCAAAACGUCCCACCAUGAAAAUCUAUUAGACUUGAGUGCGACAUGCCUCUGCUGCCGGUAAGGUACGGUCUCCUCAUCUAAGCAAUUAUCUAUUCCUGAAUAAGCUCACUACUACCAUAUUGUUUGAUUUAUCCCUAUUACUUUCCCAAUUUCAGACCUCCAGUGAAAUCCUGGAGUCAGGCACUAGUACAGUAGUACUUCCAUCAGUUGCCAUGGACAUUGCUUCAACAUUCCGAUAGGUAACAAACAAUUCACUGUGCCACUGCAGGAAGCAAUCCAGCCGCUCUCCACCUAUGUUUGGACUCUGUCUUUUGCUCCGAUUUUUGUACGGCGUGAUAUCACUCGUACAUGGACUUGAAUCAACUGAUGACUGUCGUACAAAAAUCAUACAAAAGUUGUCGUACGUGUAGCAGGACUCUUUGCUAAAGAGAGGCUUCCUCACGUUGUUCACGAUGAACAAUUUUUUUUCUGCAUAUGCUUUCAGAAAUACAACACCUCAUUUCCUUUAUUCAGUCAAGACUCAAGACUCGUACAAUAAGAGGUUGCAUUCAGUUGGCACUGUUUGUAACACUACAAAACAGAGGCUUCCUCACGUUUCCAUCUCUUCAUUUGCUUGUUCACAUAUAGCGUUGUUUUGUUUUUAUUGGCUUAUUAAUGAAGAGUUGAAGUCUACCCUGACUAAAAGGUAGCUGAUUGAAAUCCUGUUGUAGCUCCAUAUUUGCUUCAUGUUGUUCGUAACGUUUUCUCUUCUUGCUCAACUCUUGUCUCGAGCUCGUGAUAGAUAGGUAGGUGUCAACUCAGCCUGUAGGUGGGACGACCUGCGGGCAUCCCUCAUAGUGCCGCAUCUUCCCACACAAUUAUGUGGGACUAAACGGGUUGCCUAGAUAAAUCAUAUACUCCCUCCGUCCCAAAAUAAGUGUCUUGAGCUUAGUACAAAUUUAUAUUAGAGUUAGUACAAAAUUGAGACACUUAUUUUCGGACGUAUGAAUAUGUGGUUAUGUGGGCUGCCACAUACCCACAACCUAUAUAAAAGAAUAGUUGCACUAUUGCAGUAGAAAUAUUCCCAAAGUUUCUUGGUAAAAUAUUAUUUUUAUCUUUAGAAACCCAUGCAUGCAUAUAGAAAGGGACUGUCUAUAUUACAUCCGACUGAAAUUUAAUUGGCUUUCAGUCAUAUUUUCGGCCAUCCAAAGUUAAUUGUCAUCUGUCCUCUGCUUCUGUCCUGUCCACGGCUUCUCUCCUGUCCCCCAAUCNNNNNNNNNNNNNNNNNNNNNNNNNNNNNNNNNNNNNNNNNNNNNNNNNNNNNNNNNNNNNNNNNNNNNNNNNNNNNNNNNNNNNNNNNNNNNNNNNNNNNNNNNNNNNNNNNNNNNNNNNNNNNNNNNNNNNNNNNNNNNNNNNNNNNNNNNNNNNNNNNNNNNNNNNNNNNNNNNNNNNNNNNNNNNNNNNNNNNNNNNNNNNNNNNNNNNNNNNNNNNNNNNNNNNNNNNNNNNNNNNNNNNNNNNNNNNNNNNNNNNNNNNNNNNNNNNNNNNNNNNNNNNNNNNNNNNNNNNNNNNNNNNNNNNNNNNNNNNNNNNNNNNNNNNNNNNNNNNNNNNNNNNNNNNNNNNNNNNNNNNNNNNNNNNNNNNNNNNNNNNNNNNNNNNNNNNNNNNNNNNNUAUACACUGUAUACAAUGUAAUUACACUAAAAGAUCACUGUAAAAUUGCACUGAGAUUACACUAGAAAUUCCCUAAACUUACAGUGUAAUUACAGCAUAAAUACCCUUAAAUUGCAGUGUAACUACCCCUGAAAUUACACUGUAAUUGGCUAUGUGAUGAUGUACCUGAAAUCACACUAAAAAUCCCAGUGAUUUAUGGAGUGAUUAUACCCCUGAAAAAAUACACUGUAACUACCACAGAAAUUACACUUUAAUUACAGUAAAAUUAGGAGUGUGAUUGCCCUGAAAAUUAUAGUGUAAUUAACCCUGAAAUUACAGUGUAAAUGCUGUAAUUGAACUGUAGUUACACUGGAAAAUGCACUGUGAUUACAAUGUAAUUACCCCUGAGUUUACACUGUAAUAGAACUGUAAUUACACUGUAAAUCCUAUGAAUGUUCACUAGGUUUCAGAGAUGAAAUAAAACCAAAUCUAAGAUCAUGGAAACAAUCAGAGGGAAAACAGGAAAAAAAGAAGGAAGAAGUAGCAGAAACAAGACCAUGGCAAGCCUACAAAUGGGGAUCAUGAGAUGCCUGCAAAAUGAAGAACAGCAUAUACUAGAGAAAGAAAGCAAAGGAAAAACAGAGAAGAGAAAGUUAAAGAGAUGAAGCAUUCAAAGAGGAAAUGAAGUACUCUACCAGAUGAGAGUAAAGUCAAUAAGAAACGAUUGAGUCUUAAUUUGAUAGAAAGCAUUGGUGCUACUUAUUUUGCUGUUACCAAAUUUCCAGUGCUUUUAUUUUGUUGUUAGCUGCAAAUGAAAGAAGUAAUAAAGAUAAAUGAUGCCAAGAUGAAAAAAUACCAGUACAUAAAGAACAGCAUAUACCAGUGCUACUUAUUUACAGUCUACAUCUCUGUUAGUGCACUACAAAACCACUAUAAAAAACCACUAGCCACCUAUAGAAGAUUUCAAUGCUUAUAAUGCACAUCCACUAUGAGUUCCAAAUCCAUCUAAGAGGAUUUCCACUGAGAAAUGGGGAGGAAUCGUAUAUCAAGCUACACACUCAAGGAUGCGAAAACUAGGAUACAAAAAAGAGAAAGGGCAUGGGCUAUAAAUAGGAAAAACAUUGCAAGCCCACUAAGAUUUUUGUUUUGAAACAUACAACUUAUAAUUACACUGUAAAUACAUUGAUAAAUACAGUGAAAGUCUAAUAUGAAUUACACUGUAAAUCAACUAGCAAUUACACUGUAAAUCCACUCACAAAUACACUGUAAAUCCAAGGCAAUUACACUGUAAAUCCACUCGCAGUUACACUGUAAAUCCACUCGCAAAAAACACUGUAAAUCCACUAUAAAUCAACUCACAAAUACACUGUAAAACUAAGGCAGAAAUACACUGUAAAUCCAAAAAAGGAAUUACACUGCAACCCACUGAGAAUUACAGUGUAAAACAACCAGGAUUACGCUGUAAAAUCUACUAUCUAACCACUAGAAAAUCACACUGUAAAAUACGCUUAGUUACACUGAAAAUCCACUAUGGACUACACAGUAAAUCACUGUAUAUCCAAAUAGGAAGUACAUUGUAAAUGACAGUAAAUCAAAUGGGAAAUUACAUUAUAAAACCAACAAGGAAUUGCAGUUACAGAAAACGGUCUAGGGGAUUAUAACACCAGAGAUCAGGGUGACAAAUACACCCAGUAAGUUCGAAUUCUCUCAAUACAGCAUACUGCUACAACUAAACAAGCCAGCCUAUGAUUAACAACCGGCCGAACUUGAACAACAAACCAAUUACAGAAUUAACAACUGCACAUAACAGAUCCAGCGAGGCGCAUCCCAGCUACCCCAGCUAACGCGCAUAGCAGAGCAAUUAAAACGCCCAUCUCAUAAACGGGGCAACCUCACACAUCUACACAAAAAAUAGCUGCGGGGAUGGAUCACAGCAACAGAUCUGACUGACAAAACCAUCCGCACUACCUAACAGAUCACAGGAACAAAACAAAAACGAGGGUGAAAUACCGAAUCCGACGAACAGAAUCGGCGGCGGAAAUGGGGACGGUUGGGUGCAGGAUCGAGAGAUGCCGCAGCCCCCACCGGCAGACACAGAAGGGGGGCGGAGGAAGCGGGGCAGCACAAGGCAGGGCGCGGACGUGUCACCACCAAACAAUGGGAUCGAGCGGCGAGGCAGAGCUCCAAAUCGCCAUGGCCAUCUCUCUCGCUCGACUCUGUUCCGGGGUUGCGUGUACGAAAUGACAAAGGGGUUGCAAGUGGAAAUUAACGGGUUAACUAACGGGCCCGAUAAGAGAAACCAGACGAAAAAAACAAAGAAACACACGAAUCUCAGUGCACAGAUCGCACGGUACAGAAAAUGAAUGAAAGCGAAUUGUUUUCAUCCGCACGUAAAUUAGCAAAACCGUAUAGAAAUGUCCGUAACAACGACGUGCGCGCGCGGGCUCGACUCGACAUUUGACCGGGAACACAGCACAGUGGCAUGCAUUUGGCAAAACAAGUAACCACAAAACAUGUGAUUAGGGUAAUCAAUCAACCAAUGCAGGCGCACUUUGUUCCUUAUACUGUUUAUGACAGAUACUGCACAUCCAUCCGUCCUCCCUCCAUUACAGCGUGGCCGUUCGUCUCCAGACCUACAACAUGAUUCCGUUUUCAUCUACAGAACUACUCCUUUGAUUCCACUAAUUCCACCGGGACAGCUGCUGAUCGACUCUGGCUCAGCCACGCACGGCCUGCAGGGGAUCCGAUCACCUCAUCCAUGCCGACAACGACGGUAGCUCGCUAUCCUCGCCUCCACGUGAUCGGUCCGUCCUCAUCCGCGAAGAUAAGACGGCGGCUGGCCCCGUACGUACGUCGCUCUCCCUCGCUCCGUGUGGCUAGCUAGCUGCCGGUCAUGCUCCAACGUUGAAACCCUAGCGAUCUUUUCCAUGGAGCCAACGCUAUCCACCGCGACGCCCCCUGUCACGCUGCUUCCGCUUGCAUAAAGACUUUGCGUUACACCAUCGACCGGCGUCGCCGUCUUGCCCAAGGAAGACAUGGCCGCGGGCGGGACCGAUAGAUGUGAGCAGUUGAUCGCCCAUCUUCGAUCCCUCACUGGCGUAGGGAUCGGCUCUCCUAUCACGGCGCGCUUUGUUAUCCGCGGGGAAAGGAAGGGGCAACGCGGAGAGCGACGGCGUGUGGUAGCACAGAGCUGGCCUGGAGGGUUGGCGCGUGUUCGAGUAGUCGCUUGCGCCGUAUGCACCUUCAGCCUUUGCUUUCACCGGAGGUCGGCAAAGCAAAAGGGCCGGCCGCGGUGGGCUAGGGGCCAAGCUAGCCGAUGCAAGAUACCAAGGUGUAGCUAGCUAGGUAGGAGUAUCAAUUCAAUUCAACACAGGGGUGCUGCCGUGCUGCGCUGCUACUUAGGUCUGCAGCUCGGCCGCGCUUGUACGAUCGGACAAGACAAACGCAUCAUACUUUGCCGUGGCAUAUCCAAGCGAUCAAAGUCACGCGCUUGCUUCUUUCUUUGUUGGCCUUCUCAUGAUGUGUUUGCUAGCUUUGUGGUCUUAAUCAGGGAGUGAACAUUCAGAGAAUAUAUAGCUUCCUCAUUUCUGAAUUAUGUGCUGCCCAAGAUAUAUCGUUCAUUGUUUUUGACAUAGCUUACCACUCAUGCCAAGUGGUGAGUUUUAUAUGGUACUCCCUAUGUAAACUUUUAUAAGAACUUUUAGGUCACUAAAAUAGUGGCAUAAACAUCUUAUAAUUGUCCUCUCUUUUUUCGAUAAAAGGGGGCCACAUGGCCCCCAUUUUCAUCUUAUAAUUGUCCUCUUUGCACAUUUAUUCGUGUGGAUUACACCGUCCUAGAUGGGGUCGUUCAUGGUGGCAACAUGUGACGUGAAGACAUAAAUUAACGAGUAAACAAAACGGGGUAUCUUCUCCGCCUUAUCCGGCCGGAGCAUCCACUGAGAGAGACGUCCAUGUAAUCAACCCAGUCACCUACCCUGUGCUGCUAUCCCUGUGGAUCCACCCAUGCGACGGCAGCAUGGAGGUUGGGAGGAAACACCAAAGCCCAAACCUCCGGGUCCCGGCCCCGACCGAGAACUGAAGAUAGACAUGGAUAUGGAUGUGGGUUUCGUCGUCGUUGCCUUUGCUCUGUGCCAUCCACCAGCUGACUUGACUAGCAGUAGCAGCAGCAGCAGCAGCAGCUAGUUGCCACCUGCUACUGCGUGCACAACUUUCGAUCAUAGGCCAGAAACACGCACACACGCACGUUGUGGAUAAGAUCGACGCGCCGGGCGCUAGCUAGCUUUCGUGGACGGACACCAUCGGCUCGUCCGCAAGUGGAACACUGGUGGUGGUGGGGGUGGGUCGAUCGGAGGUGCGGCGUCAGGUCUCGGCGUCACCGCACAGUGCCGAGUCCUUUUCCUUGUCUCUGUGGUUGGAGUUGCGGCACUAUGGCAGGGUGAGGAGGAGCUGGCCAGCAUCCAGCUUCCUCUUUCCUUUCCCCUCACAGGGUGUGUGGCUCUAACCACGACCCAUACAUAGUCAGUCUCGUUGCCUAUGGCUUAAGCAACUAGUGGCAUUGGGCAGAAGGGGCUGGAUGGAGCUCAAAAGGUUCGCUGUGUCGUUUUUUUAAUAUUUUAUUACGUACUACUCGUAGUAUUUCAUCUCAUGUUAUGUACUUGUGCCAUUAUAAUUAAGUUAUUUGUUUUUUUUCAGAUCUCGUGAUUUCUGAGCAAGUUUGAAUUUGUCACCGAAACUUUGCAUCUGUCCAUAUUGAAUAUGCCAGUCAUAGAACUGCAAAUUAUCAGAGAAUUCUAGAGCGCUGCUAUAUAGACGAUAAAUUUGUGGCCGACUCCCAGACGAUCCUACUUGGCAGCAGCCUGUUGCCUGUGUAUGCCGGAGUCAAUUGUUUUUUCCUUAGCUGAUGCUAGCGCUGUUGGGGUGAAGUAUCUUCCGCAGAACGUGCAUAAAGUAUCAUGUGUGAAGCAAUUUCGAGAAUUCUGCCGGGAGGACGAGCCCCCCUCUCCCCCUCCCGCUCGCUCCCGCGAGCGCCGCGGAGGGGAAACCCUAGCCGCCGGCCUCCGACCCCCUCCCCUCCCUCCUCCUCCCUCGUCGCCGCCGGCUCGCGCGGACGGGCGUGCGUUGGCGGCGGCGGGGCAUCUCUUCCCCUGCUCUGUCACGGGCUGGCACGGGCCGGCGUGGACGGGUGGUGGCGCAGCGCGAGCAGAGGGCGCGGCGGCGGGACUGGUGCUUGGCGGCCGUGAGAAGGUCUCUGUGGUGGUGGUCCUUGCGCCUGCGUGGGCGGGGGUUCCUGUUCGUGCGGUGCCGGAUCUGUGGCGGCGGCCACUGACGGGCGGCGCACCGGCUCCCCUGCGGUGGGUGGCCGGUGCUGAUGCGGAAGGCCACCAUGCCUGGCCGCGUGAGCGGUGGGUUGGCGGCAGGCUCGGAGCUGGCUCCGAGGGUCUUCCCGUUGGCCCCUUGGAGCGGAUCUGACGGCGGCCUCCUCCCCUGCGCCUCUUCUUGCCUCGCCGAUCUACGAGGCGGGCAUCAGUGUGCCCGGUGUGUAAACUUUGGUGGAAGCGUUGAACCCUUUGCUCGGGCCGCAUCUCUAUUUAUAUCACAUGUGUGUCGUGGCUUACAAGAGAUCGAGACGAUCGAGAGAGAUCAGGAUCGAUCGGUUACAGGAGACUAGGGGGAUUACAACAGAAGAAGAGAUAGAAGGAUACAAGUUUAAAACACCUCUCCUACCUCUAUACAAUAUCAUCUAACACUCCCCCUCAAUCUUAGCCUCAAGAAACUUUCGCGAGAUUAAGAUUGUACUUAAACUCAUCCAACCUCCUCAUAGUAAGGGGUUUUGUGAAGCCAUCAGCAAGUUGAUCUCCAGUAGGUAUAAACCGAAUGUCAAGUAGCCUUCGAGCUACCCUUUCUCUGACAAAGUGGAAAUCAACCUCAAUAUGCUUGGUACGUGCAUGAAAAACAGGAUUGGCUGACAGAUAAGUUGCACCAAUAUUAUCACACCAUAAUCUAGCAGCUUGUGGAGCCUUGAUUCCAAGUUCAUAGAGCAAUGUUUGUAUACACAUUACUUCUGAUGUAGCAUUAGCCAAGGCCUUAUACUCAGCCUCUGUACUUGACCUUGAGACAGUAGCCUGUUUUCUUGCACUCCAUGACAUAAGAUUAGUUCCCAGAAACACAGCAAAACCACCUGUAGAUCUUCUAUCAUCAGCAAACUCUGCCCAGUCUGCAUUAGAAUAGGCAGUAACAAGUAGAGAAGGAGACUUGGUAAUCUGAAACCCAAGUCCUUCAGAAGACUUUCGAUACCUUAAAAUCCUCUUGACUGCAGUCCAGUAAGUUGUUCUAGGUGCAUGUAAAUACUGACAUACCUUAUUCACAGAGUAAGAGAUAUCAGGACGUGUAAGAGUCAGAUACUGCAAAUCACCCACAACACUUCUGUAAUUAGUUGCAUCUUCUGGCCCAAGUGCUUCUCCACUUUCAAUUGUAAGUUUUUCAGAAGUUGAAAUUGGCGUACUCACAGGUUUACAAUUGUACAAACCUACUCUCAUGAGUAUAUCGUUGUAUAUUUUUCCUGUGUAAGAAGUAUACCAUCCUUGAUCUGCUUCACUUCUAUGCCAAGAAAAUAGCGAAGAUCUCCCAAGUCCUUGAGAGCAAACUCUAACUUUAAAUCUUUAAGCAAACAAGUGGUAGCAUCUAAACUUGAGCUUGCAACAAUUAUAUCAUCAACAUAAACAAGCACAAAUAUAGUAAUAUUGUCUUUAUGAUAAAAGAACAAUGAGGUAUCUGCUUUGGAUGGUCUAAACCCAAGUUGUUGUAACUGCAUGCUCAAUCUUGAGUACCAGGCUCUAGGGGCCUGUUUCAAACCAUAUAAGGCCUUAUCCAACUUACAGACAUGAUGAGGUGUGCUUUGUUUUUCAUAUCCAGGUGGCUGCCGCAUGAACACUUCUUCCUCAAGAACACCAUGAAGAAACGCGUUUUGAACAUCUAGCUCGCGUAAACUCCAACCUCUGGAAAUAGCAAUAGACAAUACAAGUCGAAUAGUGGCUGCCUUAACAACAGGACUAAAUGUAUCUUCAUAAUCAAUACCAAAUCUCAGCUUAAAACCUUUGGCAACUAAUCUAGCCUUGUAUCUGUCUAUGCUUCCAUCAGGUUUUCUUUUUAUUUUAUAUACCCAUUUGCAAUCUAUAACAUUGCUACCUUCUUUUAGAGGUACUAAGUGCCAAGUUCUAUUUUUCAUGAGAGCAUCAUAUUCAUUAUCCAUAGCCUCCUUCCAUUCUUUAUGAGCCAGAGCAUCAUGCAAGUUAUUUGGUUCUCCAACACUACUAAGAAAAGCACGUUUGACUCUGUCAUAUCGUACCUUACCAUCAUUAUAUUCCUUUUGUUUGAUAAUACCUGACUGUGACCGAGUGUGUCGAUGAGGAGGCUGAACUGGUGCUGCUGACGUAGCCAUAGGAGAUCCAGAAGCAGUAGACACCUCCACAGAAAAUCCAGGUACCGGAUCCAAGGCAGAUUCUGAAGGAAAUAUGCCCUAGAGGCAAUAAUAAAGUUAUUAUUUAUUUCCUUAUUUCAUGAUAAAUGUUUAUUAUUCAUGCUAGAAUUGUAUUAACCGGAAACACGAUACAUGUAUGAAUACAUAGACAAACAGAGUGUCACUAGUAUGCCUCUACUUGACUAGCUUGUUGAUCAAAGAUGGUUAUGUUUCCUAACCAUAGACAUGUGUUGUCAUCUGAUUAACAGGAUCACAUCAUUAGGAGAAUGAUGUGAUUGACUUGACCCAUUCUGUUAGCUUAACACUCGAUCGUUUAGUAUGUUGCUAUUGCUUUCUUCAUGACUUAUACAUGUUCCUAUGACUAUGAGAUUAUGCAACUCCCAUUUACCGGAGGAACACUUUGUGUGCUACCAAACGUCACAACGUAACUGGGUGAUUAUAAAGGUGCUCUACUGUUGGGGAACGUAGUAAUUUCAAAAAAAUUCCUACGCACACGCAAGAUCAUGUGAUGCAUAGCAACGAGGGGGGGGGUGUGAUCUACAUACCUAGUAGAUCGACAACGGAAGCGUUUGGUUGAUGUAGUCGUACGUCUUCACGGCCCGACCGAUCAAGUACCGAAACUACGGCACCUCCGAGUUUUUGCACACGUUCAGCUCGAUGACGAUCUCCGGACUCCGAUCCAGCAAAGUGUCAGGGAAGAGUUCCGUCGGCACGACGGCGUGGUGACGAUCUUGAUGUACUACUGCAGCAGGGCUUUGCCUAAACUCCGCUACAAUAUUAUCGAGGACUAUGGUGGCUGGGGCGCCGCACACGGCUAAGGAAAAGAUCACGUGGAUCAACUUAUCUGUCUCUGGGGUGCCCCUGCCUCCAUAUAUAAAGGACUAAAGGGGGGAGGCUGGCCGGCCACAUAGGGCGCGCCAGGAGAGUCCUACUCCCUCUGGGAGUAGGAUUCCCCCCCAAUCCUAGUUGGACUAGGACUCGCGGAGGGGGAAAAGAGAGAGAGGGGCCGGCCCCCUCUCCUUGUCCAAUUCGGACCAAGGGAGGGGAGGGGCGCGCGGCCCACUAUGGGCUGCCUCUUCUCUUUUCCACUAAGUCCCAAUAAGGCCCAUCUAGCUCCCGGGGGGGGUUCCGGUAACCUCCCGGUACUCCGGUAAAAUCCCGAUUUCACCCGGAACACUUCCGAUAUCCAAACAUAGGCUUCCAAUAUAUCAAUCUUUAUGUCUCGACCAUUUCGAGACUCCUCGUCAUGUCCGUGAUCACAUCCGGGACUCCGAACAACCUUCGGUACAUCAAAAUGCAUAAACUCAUAAUAUAACUGUCAUCAUAACCUUAAGUGUGCGGACCCUACGGGUUCGAGAACAAUGUAGACAUGACCGAGACACGUCUCCGGUCAAUAACCAAUAGCGGGACCUGGAUGCCCAUAUUGGCUCCUACAUAUUCUACGAAGAUCUUUAUCGGUCAGACCGCAUAACAACAUACGUCGUUCCCUUUGUCAUCGGUAUGUUACUUGCCCGAGAUUCGAUCGUCGGUAUUCCAAUACCUAGUUCAAUCUCGUUGCCGGAAAGUCUCUUUACUCGUUCUGCAAUACAUCAUCCCGCAACUAACUCAUUAGUUGCAAUGCUUGCAAGGCUUAAGUGAUGUGCAUUACCGAGAGGGCCCAGAGAUACCUCUCCGACAAUCAGGGUGACAAAACCUAAUCUCAAAAUACGCCAACCCAACAUGUACCUUUGGAGACACCUGUAGUACUCCUUUAUAAUCACCCAGUUACGUUGUGACGUUUGGUAGUACCCAAAGUGUUCCUCCGGUAAACGGGAGUUGCAUAAUCUCAUAGUUAUAGGAACAUGUAUAAGUCAUGAAAAAAGCAAUAGCAACAUACUAAACGAUCGGGUGCUAAGCUAAUGGAAUGGGUCAUGUCAAUCAGAUCAUUCUCUUAAUGAUGUGAUCCCGUAAAUCAAAUAACAACUCAUUGUUCAUGGUUAGGAAGCAUAACCAUCUUUGUUUAGCGAGCUAGUCAAGUAGAGGCAUACUAGUGACACUUUGUUUGUCUAUGUAUUCACACAUGUAUUAUGUUUUCGGUUAAUACAAUUAUAGCAUGAAUAAUAAACAUUUAUCAUGAUUAUAAGGAAAUAAAUAAUAACUUUAUUAUUGCCUCUAGGGCAUAUUUCCUUCAGUCUCCCACUUGCACUAGAGUCAAUAAUCUAGAUUACACAGUAAUGAUUCUAACACCCAUGGAGCCUUGGUGUUGAUCAUGUUUUGCUCGUGGAAGAGGCUUAGUCAAUGGGUCUGCAAUAUUCAGAUCCGUAUGUAUCUUGCAAAUCUCUAUGUCUCCCACCUGGACUAGAUCCCGGAUGGAAUUGAAGCGUCUCUUGAUGUGCUUGGUUCUCUUGUGAAAUCUGGAUUCCUUUGCCAAGGCAAUUGCACCAGUAUUGUCACAAAAGAUUUUCAUUGGACCCGAUGCGCUAGGUAUGACACCUAGAUCGGAUAUGAACUCCUUCAUCCAGACUCCUUCAUUUGCUGCUUCCGAAGCAGCUAUGUACUCCGCUUCACAUGUAGAUCCCGCUACAACGCUUUGUUUAGAACUGCACCAACUUACAGCCCCACCGUUUAAUGUAAACACGUAUCCGGUUUGCGAUUUAGAAUCGUCUGGAUCAGUGUCAAAGCUUGCAUCAACGUAACCUUUUACGAUGAGCUCUUUGUCACCUCCAUAUACGAGAAGCAUAUCCUUAGUCCUUUUCAGGUAUUUCAGGAUGUUCUUGACUGCUGUCCAGUGAUCCACUCCUGGAUUACUUUGGUACCUCCCUGCUAGACUUAUAGCAAGGCACACAUCAGGUCUGGUACACAGCAUUGCAUACAUGAUAGAUCCUAUGGCUGAUGCAUAGGGAACAUCUUUCAUAUUCUCUCUAUCUUCUGCAGUGGUCGGGCAUUGAGUCUUACUCAACUUCACACCUUGUAACACAGGCAAGAAUCCUUUCUUUGCUUGAUCCAUUUUGAACUUUUUCAAAACUUUGUCAAGGUAUGUGGUUUGUGAAAGUUCAAUUAAGCAUCUUGAUCUAUCUCUAUAGAUCUUAGUGCCUAAUAUGUAAGCAGCUUCACCGAGGUCUUUCAUUGAAAAACUUUUAUUCAAGUAUCCCUUUAUGCUAUCCAGAAAUUCUACAUCAUUUCCAAUUAGUAAUAUGUCAUCCACAUAUAAUAUCAGAAAUGCUACAGAGCUCCCACUCACUUUCUUGUAAAUACAGGCUUCUCCAAAAGUCUGUAUAAAACCAAAUGCUUUGAUCACACUAUCAAAACGUUUAUUCCAACUCCGAGAGGUUUGCACCAGUCCAUAAAUGGAUCGCUGGAGCUUGCACACUUUGUUAGCUCCCUUCGGAUCGACAAAACCUUCUGGUUGCAUCAUAUACAACUCUUCUUCCAGAAAUCCAUUCAGGAAUGCAGUUUUGACAUCCAUCUGCCAAAUUUCAUAAUCAUAAAAUGCGGCAAUUGCUAACAUGAUUCGGACAUACUUAAGCAUCGCUACGAGUGAGAAGGUCUCAUCGUAGUCAAUCCCUUGAACUUGCCGAAAACCUUUUGCGACAAGUCGAGCUUUGUACACAGUAAUAUUACCGGCAGCGUCAGUCUUCUUCUUGAAGAUCCAUUUAUUCUCAAUUGCUUGCCGAUCAUCGGGCAAGUCAACCAAAGUCCAUACUUUGUUCUCAUACAUGGAUCCCAUCUCAGAUUUCAUGGCUUCAAGCCACUUUGCGGAAUCUAGGCUCACCAUCGCUUCUUCAUAGUUCGUAGGUUCAUCAUGAUCUAGUAGCAUGACUUCCAGAACAGGAUUACCGUACCACUCUGGCGCGGAUCUUACUCUGGUUGAUCUACGAGGUUCAGUAGUAUCUUGUUCUGAAGUUUCAUGAUCAUUAUCAUUAGCUUUCUCACUAACUGGUGUAGGUGUCAUAGAAACAGUUUUCUGUGAUGCACUACUUUCCAAUAAGGGAGCAGGUACAGUUACCUCGUCAAGUUCUACUCUCCUCCCACUCACGUCUUUCGAGAGAAACUCCUUCUCCAGAAAGUUUCCGAAUUUAGCAACAAAAGUCUUGCCUUCGGAUCUGUGAUAGAAGGUGUAUCCAAUAGUUUCCUUUGGAUAUCCUAUGAAGACACAUUUCUCCGAUUUGGGUUCGAGCUUAUCAGGUUGAAGCUUUUUCACAUAAGCAUCGCAGCCCCAAACUUUUAGAAACGACAACUUUGGUUUCUUGCCAAACCACAGUUCAUAAGGCGUCGUCUCAACGGAUUUUGAUGGUGCCCUAUUUAACGUGAAUGCGGCCGUCUCUAGAGCGUACCCCCAAAACGAUAGCGGUAAAUCAGUAAGAGACAUCAUAGAUCGCACCAUAUCUAGUAAAGUACGAUUACGACGUUCGGACACACCAUUACGCUGUAGUGUUCCGGGUGGCGUGAGUUGCGAAACUAUUCCACAAUUUUUCAAAUGUACACCAAACUCGUAACUCAAAUAUUCUCCUCCACGAUCAGAUCGUAGAAACUUUAUUUUCUUGUUACGAUGAUUUUCAACUUCACUCUGAAAUUCUUUGAACUUUUCAAAUGUUUCAGACUUAUGUUUCAUUAAGUAGAUAUACCCAUAUCUGCUUAAAUCAUCUGUGAAGGUGAGAAAAUAACGAUAUCCGCCAUGAGCCUCAAUAUUCAUAGGACCACAUACAUCUGUAUGUAUGAUUUCCAACAAAUCUGUUGCUCUCUCCAUAGUACCGGAGAACGGCGUUUUGGUCAUCUUGCCCAUGAUGCACGGUUCGCAAGUACCAAGUGAUUCAUAAUCAAGUGGUUCUAAAAGUCCAUCAGUAUGGAGUUUCUUCAUGCGCUUUACACCGAUAUGACCUAAACGGCAGUGCCACAAAUAAGUUGCACUAUCAUUAUCAACUCUGCAUCUUUUGGCUUCAACAUUAUGAAUAUGUGUGUUACUACUAUCGAGAUUCAACAAGAAUAGACCACUCUUCAAGGGUGCAUGACCAUAAAAGAUAUUACUCAUAUAAAUAGAACAACCAUUAUUCCCUGAUUUAAAUGAAUAACCGUCUCGCAUCAAACAAGAUCCAGAUAUAAUGUUCAUCCUUAACGCUGGCACCAAAUAACAAUUAUUUAGGUCUAAUAUUAAUCCCGAAGGUAGAUGUAGAGGUAGCGUGCCGACUACGAUCACAUCGACUUUGGAACCGUUUCCCACGCGCAUCGUCACCUCGUCCUUAACCAAUCUUCGCUUGAUCCGUAGUCCCUGUUUCGAGUUGCAAAUAUUAGCAACAGAACCAGUAUCAAAUACCCAGGUGCUACUGCGAGCAUUAGUAAGGUACACAUCAAUAACAUGUAUAUCACAUAUACCUUUGUUCACCUUGCCAUCCUUCUUAUCCGCCAAAUACUUGGGGCAGUUCCGCUUCCAGUGACCAGUCUGCUUGCAAUAGAAGCACUCAGUUUCAGGCUUAGGUCCAGGUUUGGGUUUCUUCUCUUGAGUAGCAACUUGCUUGCCGUUCUUUUUGAAGUUCCCCUUCUUCUUUCCUUUGCCCUUUUUCUUGAAACUAGUGGUCUUGUUGACCAUCAACACUUGAUGCUCCUUCUUGAUUUCUACCUCCGCAGCUUUCAGCAUCGCGAAGAGCUCGGGAAUAGUCUUAUUCAUCCCUUGCAUAUUAUAGUUCAUCACGAAGCUCUUGUAGCUUGGUGGCAGUGAUUGGAGAAUUCUGUCAAUGACGCAAUCAUCUGGAAGAUUAACUCCCAAUUGAAUCAAGUGAUUAUUAUACCCAGACAUUGUGAGUAUAUGCUCACUAACAGAACUGUUCUCCUCCAUCUUGCAGCUAUAGAACUUAUUGGAGACUUCAUAUCUCUCAAUCCGGGCAUUUGCUUGAAAUAUUAACUUCAACUCCUGGAGCAUCUCAUAUGCUCCAUGAUGUUCAAAACAUCGUUGAAGUCCCGAUUCUAAGCCGUAAAGCAUGGCACACUGAACUAUCGAGUAGUCAUCAGCUUUGCUCUGCCAGACGUUCAUAACAUCCGGCGUUGCUCCUGCAGCAGGCCUGGCACCCAGCGGUGCUUCCAGGACGUAAUUCUUCUGUGCAGCAAUGAGGAUAAUCCUCAAGUUACGGACCCAGUCCGUGUAAUUGCUACCAUCAUCUUUCAACUUUGCUUUCUCAAGGAACGCAUUAAAAUUCAACGGAACAACAGCACGAGCCAUCUAUCUACAAACAAGCAUAAACGAGCAAGAUACUUAUCAGGUACUAAGUUUCAUGAUAAAUUUAAGUUCAGUUAAUUUACUUAAAGAACUCCCACUUAGAUAGACAUCCCUCUAGUCCUCUAAGUGAUUACAUGAUCCAAAUCAACUAAACCAUGUCCAAUCAUCAUGUGAGAUGGAGUAGUUUCAUUGGUGAACAUCAUUAUGUUGAUCAUAUCUACUAUAUUACUCACGCUCAACCUUUCGGUCUCCGUGUUCCGAGGCCAUAUCUGUUUAUGCUAGCCUCGUCAAGUAUAACCUGAGUAUUCCGCGUGUGCAACUGUUUUGCACCCGUUGUAUUUGAACGUAGAACCUAUCACACCCGAUCAUCACGUGGUGUCUCAGCACGAAGAACUUUCGCAACGGUGCAUACUCAGGGAGAACACUUCUUGAUAAUUAGUGAGAGAUCAUCUUAUAAUGCUACCGUCAAUCAAAGCAAGAUAAGAUGCAUAAAAGAUAAACAUCACAUGCAAUCAAUAUAAGUGAUAUGAUAUGGCCAUCAUCAUCUUGUGCUUGUGAUCUCCAUCUCCGAAGCACCGUCGUGAUCACCAUCGUCACCGACGUGACACCUUGAUCUCCAUCAUAGCAUCGUUGUCGUCUUGCCAAGCUUGUGCUUCCACGACUAUCGCUACCGUUUAGUGAUAAAGUAAAGCAUUACAUCGCGAUCUCAUUGCAUACAAUAAAGCGACAACCAUAUGGCUCCUACCAGUUGCCGAUAACUCGGUUACAAAACAUGAUCAUCUCAUACAUUAAAAAUCAGCAUCAUGUCUUGACCAUAUCACAUCACAAUAUGCCCUGCAAAAACAAGUUAGACGUCCUCUACUUUGUUGUUGCAAGUUCUACGUGGCUUCUACGGGCUUAAGCAAGAACCAAUCUUACCUACGCAUCAAAACCACGACGAUAAUUUGUCAAGUUGGUGCUGUUUUAACCUUCGCAAGGACCGGGCGUAGCCACACUCAGUUCAACUAAAGUUGGAGAAACUGUCACCCACAAGCCAUCUCUGUGCAAAGCACGUCGGGAGAACCGGUCUCGCGUAAGCGUACGCGUAAUGUCGGUCUGGGCCGCUUCAUCCAACAAUACCGCCGAACCAAAGUAUGACAUGCUGGUAAGCAGUAUGACUUGUAUCGCCCACAGCUCACUUGUGUUCUACUCGUGCAUAUAACAUCAACAUAUAAAACCUAGGCUCGGAUGCCACUGUUGGGGAACGUAGUAAUUUCAAAAAAUUUCCUACGCACACGCAAGAUCAUGUGAUGCAUAGCAACGAGGGGGGGAGUGUGAUCUACAUACCUAGUAGAUCGACAACGAAAGCGUUUGGUUGAUGUAGUCGUACGUCUUCACGGCCCGAUCGAUCAAGUACCGAAACUACGACACCUCCGAGUUUUUGCACACGUUCAGCUCGAUGACGAUCCCCGGACUCCGAUCCAGCAAAGUGUCGGGGAAGAGUUCCGUCAGCACGACGGCGUGGUGACGAUCUUGAUGUACUACUACAGCAGGGCUUCGCCUAAACUCCGCUACAAUAUUAUCGAGGACUAUGGUGGCUGGGGCGCUGCACACGGCUAAGGAAAAGAUCACGUGGAUCAACUUGUCUGUCUCCGGGGUGCCCCUGCCUCCAUAAAUAAAGGACUAAAGGGGGGGGGGGCUGGCCGGCCACAUAGGGCGCGCCAGGAGAGUCCUACUCCCUCUGGGAGUAGGAUUCCCCCCCCCCCCCCAAUCCUAGUUGGACUAGGACUCGUGGAGGGGGAAUAGAGAGAGAGGGGCCGGCCCCCUCUCCUUGUCCAAUUCGGACCAAGGGAGGGGAGGGGCGCGCGGACCACUAUGGGCUGCCUCUUCUCUGUUCCACUAAGGCCCAAUAAGGCCCAUCUAGCUCCCCGGGGGGUUCCGGUAACCUCCCGGUACUCCGGUAAAAUCCCGAUUUCACCUGGAACACUUCCGAUAUCCAAACAUAGGCUUCCAAUAUAUCAAUCUUUAUGUCUCGACCAUUUCGAGACUCCUCGUCAUGUCCGUGAUCACAUCCGGGACUCCGAACAACCUUCGGUACAUCAAAAUGCAUAAACUCAUAAUAUAACUAUCAUCGUAACCUUAAGCGUGCGGACCCUACGGGUUCGAGAACAAUGUAGACAUGACCGAGACACGUCUUCGGUCAAUAACCAAUAGCAGGACCUGGAUGCCCAUAUUGGCUCCUACAUAUUCUACGAAGAUCUUUAUCGGUCAGACCGCAUAACAACAUACGUCGUUCCCUUUGUCAUCGGUAUGUUACUUGCCCGAGAUUCGAUCGUCGGUAUUCCAAUACCUAGUUCAAUCUCGUCGCCGGCAAGUCUCUUUACUCCUUCUGCAAUACAUCAUCCCGCAACUAACUCAUUAGUUGUAAUGCUUGCAAGGCUUAAGUGAUGUGCAUUACCGAGAGGGCCCAGAGAUACCUCUCCGACAAUCGGAGUGACAAAACCUAAUCUCGAAAUACGCCAACCCAACAUGUACCUUUGGAGACACCUGUAGUACUCCUUUAUAAUCACCCAGUUACGUUGUGACGUUUGGUAGUACCCAAAGUGUUCCUCCGGUAAACGGGAGUUGCAUAAUCUCAUAGUUAUAGGAACAUGUAUAAGUCAUGAAAAAAGCAAUAGCAACAUACUAAACGAUCGGGUGCUAAGCUAAUGGAAUGGGUCAUGUCAAUCAGAUCAUUCUCUUAAUGAUGUGAUCCUGUAAAUCAAAUAAUAACUCAUUGUUCAUGGUUAGGAAACAUAACCAUCUUUGAUUAACGAGCUAGUCAAGUAGAGGCAUACUAGUGACACUUUGUUUGUCUAUGUAUUCACACAUGUAUUAUGUUUCCGGUUAAUACAAUUAUAGCAUGAAUAAUAAACAUUUAUCAUGAUUAUAAGGAAAUAAAUAAUAACUUUAUUAUUGCCUCUAGGGCAUAUUUCCUUCAUCUACAGGUGUCUCCAAAGGUACAUGUUGGGUUGGCGUAUUUCGAGAUUAGGAUUUGUCACUCCGAUUGUCGGAGAGGUAUCUCUGGGCCCUCUCGGUAAUGCACAUCACUUAAGCCUUGCAAGCAAUGCAACUAAUGAGUUAGUUGCGAGAUGAUGUAUUACGGAACGAGUAAAGAGACUUGCCGGUAAUGAGAGUGAACUAGGUAUUGAGAUACCGACGGUCGAAUCUCGGGCAAGUAACAUACCGAUGACAAAGGGAACAACGUAUGUUGUUAUGCGGUCUGACCGAUAAAGAUCUUCGUAGAAUAUGUAGGAGCCAAUAUGAGCAUCCAGGUUUCGCUAUUGGUUAUUGACCGGAGACGUGUCUCAGUCACGUCUACAUUGUUCUCGACGUAGGGUUCGCACGCUUAAGGUUUCGAUGACAGUUAUAUUAUGAGUUUAUGAGUUUUGAUGUACCUAAGGAGUUCGGAGUCCCGGAUGAGAUCGGGGACAUAAUGAGGAGUCUCGAAAUGGUCAAGACAUAAAGAUCGAUAUAUUGGACGGCUAUAUUCGGACACCGGAAGUGUUCCGUAUGAUUUCGGAGAAAACCGGAGUGCCGGAAGGGUUACCGGAACCCCCCAGGGAAGUAUUGGGCCUUAGUGGGCCUGAGGGGAGAGAGAGGGCAGCAGACCAGGAGGUGGCGCACCCCCUCCCAUGGGGAGUCCGAAUUGGACUAGGGGAGGGGGGCGCGGCCCCUCUUUCCCCCUCCCUCUCCCUUUCUUUCCUUCCCCCUUAUGUCUUCCUAGUUGGACUAGGAAAGGGGAGUCCUACUCCUACUAGGAGGAUGACUCCCCCUCCUUGGCGCGCCCUAAGGGCCGUCCGGCCUCCCCCCUUGCUCCUUUAUAUACGGGGGCAGGGGGCACCUCUAGACACACAAGUUGAUCUUCAUGAUCGUUCUCUUAGCCGUGUGCGGUGCCCCCCUCCACCAUAAUCCUCGAUAAUAUUGUAGCGGUGCUUAGGCGAAGCCCUGCGACGGUAGAACAUCAAGAUCGUCACCACGCCGUCGUGCUGACGGAACUCUUCCCCGACACUUUGCUGGAUCGGAGUCCGGGGAUCGUCAUCGAGUUGAACGUGUGCUAGAACUCGGAGGUGCCGUAGUUUCGGUGCUUGAUCGGUCGGGUCGCGAAGACGUACGACUACAUCAACCGCGUUGUCAUAACGCUUCCGCUUUCGGUCUACGAGGGUACGUGGACAACACUCUCCCCUCUCGUUGCUAUGCAUCACCAUGAUCUUGCGUGUGCGUAGGCAAAUUUUGAAAUUACUACGUUCCCCAACAGUGGCAUCCGAGCCUAGGUUUUAUGUGUUGAUGUUAUAUGCACGAGUAGAACACAAGUGAGUUAUGGGCGAUAUAAGUCAUAUUGCUUACCAGCAUGUCAUACUUUGGUUCGGCGGUAUUGUUGGAUGAAGCGGCCCGGACCGACAUUACGCAUACACUUACGCGAGACUGGUUUUACCGCCGUGCUAUGCACACAGGUGACUAGCGGGUGUCAGUUUCUCCAACUUUAGUUGAACCGAGUGUGGCUACGCCCGGUCCUUGUGAAGGUUAAAACAGCACCAACUUGACAAACUAUCAUUGUGGUUUUGAUGCGUAGGUAAGAACGGUUCUUGCUAAGCCCGUAGCAGCCACGUAAAAUUUGCAACAACAAAGUAGAGGACGUCUAACUUGUUUUUGCAGGACAUGUUGUGAUGUGAUAUGGUCAAGACAUGAUGCUAAAUUUUAUUGUAUGAGAUGAUCAUGUUUUGUAACCGAGUUAUCAGCAACUGGCAGGAGCCAUAUGGUUGUCGCUUUAUUGUAUGCAAUGCAAUCACCCUGUAAUGCUUUACUUUAUCACUAAGCGGUAGCGAUAGUCGUAGAAGCAUAAGAUUGGCGAGACGACAAUGAUGCUACGAUGGAGAUCAAGGUGUCGCGCCGGUGACGAUGGUGAUCAUGAUGAUGCUUCGGAGAUGGAGAUCACAAGCACAAGAUGAUGAUGGCCAUAUCAUAUCACUUAUAUUGAUUGCAUGUGAUGUUUAUCUUUUACGCAUCUUAUCUUGCUUUGAUUGACGGUAGCGUUAUAAGAUGAUCUCUCAGUAAAUUUCAUGAUAAAAGUGUUCUCCCUGAGUAUGCACCGUUGCCAAAGUUUGUCGUGCCCAGACACCACGUGAUGAUCGGGUGUGAUAAGCUCUACGUCCAUCUACAACGGGUGCAAGCCAGUUUUGCACACGCAGAAUACUCAGGUUAAAACUUGACGAGCCUAGCAUAUACAGAUAUGGCCUCGGAACACUGAGACCGAAAGGUCGAGCGUGAAUCAUAUAGUAGAUAUGAUCAACAUAGUGAUGUUCACCAUUGAAAACUACUCCAUUUCACGCGAUGAUCGGUUAUGGUUUAGUUGAUUUGGAUCACGUGAUCACUUAGAGGAUUAGAGGGAUGUCUAUCUAAGUGGGAGUUCUUUAGUAAUAUGAUUAAUUGAACUUUAGUUUAUCAUGAACUUAGUCCUGGUAGUAUUAGCAUAUCUAUGUUGUAGAUCAAUAGCUUGCGUUGUUGCUUUCAUAUGUUUAUUUUGAUACAUUCCUAGAGAAAAAUUGUGUUGAAAGAUGUUAGUAGCAAUGAUGCGGAUUGGAUCCGUGAUUUGAGGUUUAUCCUCAUUGCUGCACAGAAGAAUUAUGUCCUUGAUGUACCGCUAGGUGACAGACCUAUUGCAGGAGCAGAUGCAGACGUUAUGAACGUUUGGCUAGCUCAAUAUGAUGACUACUUGAUAGUUUAGUGCACCAUGCUUAACGGCUUAGAAUCGGAACCUCAAAGACGUUUUGAACGUCAUAGACCAUAUGAGAUGUUCCAGGAGUUGAAGUUAAUAUUUCAAGAAAAUACCCGAGUUGAGAGAUAUGAAGUCUCCAACAAGUUCUAUAGCUAAAAUAUGGAGGAGAAUCGCUCAACUAGUGAGCAUGUGCUCAGAUUGUCUGGGUACUACAAUCGCUUGAAUCAAGUGGGAGUUAAUCUUCCAGAUAAAAUAGUGAUUGACAGAAUUGUCUAGUCACCAUCACCAAGUUAGUAGAACUUCGUGACGAACUAUAAUAUACAAGGGAUAACGGAAACGAUUCCCAAGCUCUUCGUGAUGCUAGAAUCGACGAAGGUAGAAAUCAAGAAAAACAUCAAGUGUUGAUGGUAGACAAGACCACUAGUUUUAAGAAAAGGAAAAAGGAAGAAGGGGAACUUCAAGAAGAACGGGAAGCAAGUUGCUGCUCAAGUGAAGAAACCCAAGUCUGGUCCUAAGCCUGAGACUAAGUGCUUCUACUGCAAAGGGAUUGGUCACUGGAAGCGGAACUACCCCAAGUAUUUGGUGGAUAAGAAGGAUGGCAAGGUGAACAAAGGUAUAUUGGAUAUACAUGUUAUUGAUGUGUACUUUACUAGUGUUUAUAGCAACCCCUCGGCAUUUGAUACUGGCUCAAUUGCUAAGAGUAGUAACUCGAAACGGGAGUUGCAGAAUAAACAGAAACUAGUAAAAGUCGAGGUGACGAUGUGUGUUGGAAGUAGUUCCAAGAUUGAUAUGAUCAUCAUCGCACUCUCCCUGUACUUUCAGGAUUAGUGUUGAAACUAAAUAAGUGUUAUUUGGUGUUUGUGUUGAGCAUGAAUAUGAUUUGAUCAUGUUUAUUGCAAUACGGUUAUUCAUUUAAAUUAGAGAACAAUUGUUGUUCUGUUUACAUGAAUAAAACCUUCUAUGGUCAUACACACCAACGAAAAUGGUUUGUUGGAUCUCGAUCGUAGUGAUACACAUAUUCAUAAUAUUGAAACCAAAAGAUGCAAAGUUAAUAAUGAUAGUGCAACUUAUUUGUGGCAUUGCCGUUUAGGUCAUAUUGGUGUAAAGCGCAUGAAGAAACUCCAUACUGAUGGACUUUUGGAACCACUUGAUUAUGAAUCACUUGAUGCUUGCGAACCAUGUCUCUUGGGCAAGAUGACUAAAACGCCGUUCUCUGGAACAAUAGAGCAAGUAACAUAUUUGUUGGAAAUCAUACAUACUGAUGUAUGUGGUCCGAUAAAUAUUAAGGCUUGCAGCGGGUAUCAUUAUUUUCUGACCUUCACAAAUGAUUUGAGCAGAUAUGGGUAUAUCUACUUGAUAAAACAUAAGUCUGGAACAUUUGAAAAGUUCAAAGAAUUUCAGAGUGAAGUGGAGAAUCAUCGUAACAAGAAAAUAAAAGUUUCUACGAUAUGAUCGCAGAGACAAAAUAUUUGAGUUACGAGUUUGGCCUUCAUUUGAAACAAUGCGGAAUAGUUUCGCAACUCACGCCACCCGGAACACCACAGUGUAAUGGUGUGUGCGAACAUCGUAAUCGUACUUUACUUGAUAUGGUGCGAUCUAUGAUGUCUCUUACAGAUUUACCGCUAUCGUUUUUGGGGUUAUGCAUUAAAGACAGCUGCAUUCACGUUAAAAAAGGGGCACCAUCUAAGUCCGUUGAGACGACACAAUCUGAACCGUGGUUUGGCAAGAAACCAAACUUGUCAUUUCUUAAAGUUUGGGGUUGUGAUGCUUAUAUGAAAAGGUUUCAUCCUGGUAAGCUCAAACCCAAAUCGGAGAAAUAUGUCUUCAUAGGAUACCCAAAGGAGACUGCUGGGUACACCUUCUAUCACAGAUCCGAAGGCAAGACAUUCGUUGCUAAGAAUGGAUCCUUUCUAGAGAAGGAGUUUCUCUCGAAAGAAGUGAGUGGGAGGAAAGUAGAACUUGAUAAGGUAAGUGUACCUUCUCCCUUAUUGGGAAGUAGUUCAUCACAAAAAAUCUGUUCCUGUGACUACUACACCAAUUAGUGAGGAAGCUAAUGAUGAUGAUCAUGUAACUUCAGAUCAAGUUACUACCGAAUCUCGUAGGUAAACUAGAGUGAGAUCCGCACCAGAGUGGUACGGUAAUCCUGUUCUGGAAGUCAUGUUACUAGACCAUGACAAACUUGCGAACUAUGAGGAAGCGAUGGUGAGCCCAGAUUCCGUGAAAUGGCUUGAGGCCAUGAAAUCUGAGAUGGGAUCCAUGUAUGAGAACAAAGUGUGGACUUUGGUUGACUUGCCCGAUGAUCGGCAAGACAUAGAAAAUAAAUGGAUCUUCAAGAGGAAGACGGACACUAAUAGUAGUGUUACUAUCUACAAAGCUAGAAUUGUCGCGAAAGGUUUUCGACAAGUUCAAGGUGUUGACUAUGAUGAGAGUUUCUCACUCGUAUCUAUGCUUAAGUCUGUCCAAAUCAUGUUAGCAAUUGCCGCAUUUUAUGAAAUCUGGCAAAUGGAUAAACAAAACUGCAUUCCUUAAUGGAUUUAUUAAAGAAGAGUUGUAUAUGACACAACCAGAAGGAGUUGUGGGAGGGAGCAUGGCUGGUGAGGGGAACCUUGGUUCAGCUGUCAUGGACAUAUCAGUUGGGAAUCAAUUGGUGCCGGGGGAGGAUGGCAAGGGAGCUCGCAAGAGGUUAGUUAAUGAGGAUGGCACCAUUACAGUGAGGGGUCAACCAGUGCCAAACCUGGUUGGGAAGGUCAAUAAUACGGUGCUUAUGAUUGAGGGUGGAGGAGAAACGGUAGAGACAGUGGUACCAGGGCCUUCAAAUAGCACUCCGGGGAAACGCCCUGUCGUCAAGAGGAGGAAGCAAGGUGCAGGGGAGGAAGAGGAUGAAGACCAAAUGACAAUUUUAGCGGCCUCCGGCUCGGAGGACCGCCGAGCCCAAUGAAUCUCUUAAGUUGGAACUGCCGGGGAGGGGGGAAUACCCGGAUAGUUCGUGAGCUAGCGACUCUAUGUCAGUCGCAUUCCCCCACUUUGGUGUUUUUGUGUGAAACAAGGCAGAAGGCGGACAAGUUGAAAAGAAUUCGAGCAAGGUUGGGUUUAAAGGGUUUUUGCGGCGUGGAUAGUAAUGGUAUGAGCGGUGGUCUGGCGCUUUAUUGGCAUGAAUCUUAUGACGUCCAGAUCCUAGACAAGAAGGAUAGAUACAUUGAUGCCUUGGUGCGAAUCCACCCGGAUGCUGAGCAAUGGAGAGUAACCUGUGUGUAUGGAGAACCCAGAGUGGAAAAUAGACCGGCAAUGUGGUCGGCGUUACAAAACCUGAAAACUGUCAUUGAUCGGCCAUGGUUAGUUGUCGGUGACUUUAACGAGGCUAUGUGGAACUUUGAGCACAUGUCUGCCACACCAAGACCCGAAGCACAAAUGGUGGCCUUUCAAGACGUGUUGGAGGUGUGUGAGUUGGUUGAUCUAGGCUUUAUUGGUGUUCCAUUCACAUAUGACAAUAAACGGAGUGGUGCAAGUAAUGUCAAAGUCCGGUUGGACAGAGCGGUGGCAUCCAAUGGUUGGAGGAACUUGUUCGCGUACUCGUCGGUUGUUCAUAUUCCUUCUCCUUGCUCGGAUCAUAUAGCCAUUUUGGUAAAGGGGUCUGCUGAUCCAGGUCCGAUAGGGAAGAACAACAGAAAAUAUGAGGUUUUCUGGGAGCGGGACCCUAUGUUGUCGGACAUAAUAAAGGAAGCAUGGGAGGCUGUAGGCGGCAUCCAGAACCUGGCUCAGCUGCGAGAUGCACUAUCCAAGACUAUGAGCUCAUUGGGUUUAUGGAGUAAGAAAUUUGGUAACAUAAGGAUAGAGUUAGCAAAGUCUCGGACCCAGUUAGAAGAAUUGAUGAACAUGAACGCAGACAGAGCGGAGAUCAGGGUUGUAACGGACAAGAUGAACGAACUCCUAUACCAGGAGGAAAUGUUAUGGCUACAACGGUCAAGAAUAACAUGGUUGAAAGAAGGCGAUAGAAAUACUAAAUAUUUCCAAAGCAAGGCAGUGUGGAGAGCAAGGAAGAAUAAAAUUCGAGAGCUUACUGAUAGCAUUGGGGUGGUGCAUACAGACAGUGUGGUGAUGGGGGAGAUGGCGAAUGAGUAUUUCCAAAAUAUUUUUAAGGCCGAUCCAACCAUAAACCCGUCUCCAAUACUGGAUCAUGUGGAGGUCAAAGUAACUGAGGAUGAUAAUGCCAGGCUGGUUGCUCCUUUUUCUGAUAAGGAGAUAUCAGAUGCUCUGUUCCAAAUUGGCCCUUUGAAGGCCCCGGGACCGGAUGGUUUUCCGGCUCGUUUUUUCCAGAGAAACUGGAGUACGCUCAAAGAUGAUGUUAUUGCUUCGGUUAAGGAUUUUUUUCAGACAGGCAUUAUGCCAGAGGGGGUAAACUCAACUUCUAUUUUUCUUAUCCCUAAAGUUGCUAAUCCAUCCAAGUUGUCUGAUUACAGGCCUAUCAGCUUAUGUAAUGUUAUCUAUAAGGUCAUCUCUAAGUGUUUGGUUAACCGGUUGAGGCCUUUAUUGGAUGAUCUUAUUUCUCCGGAACAAAGUGCUUUCAUUCCAGGUAGGAUGAUUACAGAUAAUGCCUUGAUAGCCUUUGAGUGCAUUCAUUACAUCAAGCAAGAAAAGGACCCCACAAAAAGUUUCUGUGCUUAUAAACUAGAUUUGUCAAAAGCAUAUGAUCGUGUGGAUUGGGUCUACUUGAGGCAGGUGAUGCAAAAUUUGGGUUUCUCUCAUCGAUGGAUUGAUUGGGUAAUGACGUGUGUUACAUCGGUGAGGUAUUCAGUUAAGUUCAAUGGAACCCUCUUGGAUUCAUUUGCACCGACGUGUGGCCUUCGGCAAGGCGACCCACUAUCACCAUUUUUAUUUCUGUUUGUGGCGGAUGGACUGUCAACUAUCUUGAAGAAUAAGGUGUCUAGGGGAGAUCUCUCUCCGGUGAAAGUGUGUAGAAGAGCCCCUGGUAUUUCCCACCUUUUGUUCGCUGAUGAUACGUUGUUGUUUUUUGAGGCCUCUAGGAGGCAAGCAGAGUGUGUGAGGGCAGCACUACAGGAGUACGGUGCAGCUACUGGGCAAAAGCUAAACUAUGAGAAAUGCUCAAUACUUUUUGGUAAUUCAUGCCCAACCGCAAGCCAAGAGCAGGUCCGAACUGUACUGCAGGUGACAAGUUCAGCUUUUGAUGAAAGGUAUCUUGGUCUCCCGACGCCAGAUGGCCGAAUGUCCAAAGGCAAAUUUUAGAAUCUUCAAGCCAAACUAACAAAACGUCUGUUGCAAUGGGGGGAUGGCCUUUUGGCUCAGCCAGGUAGAGAGGUGUUGAUUAAAUCAGUGGCCCAAGCAUUACCAACUUAUAUUAUGGGUGUAUUCAAAUUGCCGUUUUCGGUGUGUGAUGAUUUGACGAGAAUGGUGCCGAAUUUUUAUUGGGGUUCUGCAGAAGGGAAGCGGAAGGUUCAUUGGAGAAAAUGGGACUAUCUACUCCAACCAAAAGACAGGGGAGGUGUGGGAUUUUGAGACUUCCGUUUAUUUAACCAAGCACUGCUAGCUCGACAGGCUUGGCGGCUUUUGUCCAAUCUGGAUAGUCUGGUUCUUAAGGCAAAGUAUUAUCCAUAUGGCAAGCUAGAGGAUACGGUCUUCACAGGGAAUGCAUCAUCGUCGUGGCAAGCUAUUAGUCAUGGCCUUGACCUGUUGAAGAGAGGAUUGAUUUGGAGGGUGGGAAACGGGAGAAAUAUCAGAGUGUGGAGGGACAACUGGAUCCCGAGGCCGUUCUCAUUCAAGCCGGUCUCGCUGCAGGGUAGAUGCCGAAUCCGCUUCGUGUCAGACUUGCUUAAUGCAAAUGGGUCUUGGAAAGUGGACCUUUUACAGCAGUUUUUUCUGCCGGCUGAUGUCAUUGAGAUUUUGAAGAUUCGAGCUUCUCCAAGGCUGGAUGAGGAUGUGAUUGCAUGGGCCCCUGGAAGGCAUGGAGUUUUUUCUGUAAAGUCGGCCUAUCAGUUUGUGUUUCAGGAAUUGUAUGGAGCAAGCAUAGCCUCGUCUAGUAACUCGGCUUCAGGAGGAAGGAGUUGUUGGAAGUUAAUUUCGAAUAGUGCAGUUCCACCAACGAUCCGUAACUUUGCAUGGCGACUAACGACGGACGCCCUUCCUACGUGGAAGAACAAGAACAAAAGAGGGCUUGAACUUGUGAGCGGCUGUCCGAUUUGUGGUUCAGAGAUUGAGGACAACUUCCACCCUUUUCUGAGAUGCCAGCGGGGAAGGGAUCUGUAUAAGGAGAUGGCGAAGGUAUGGAGGUUGCCGGUGAUCGAAUCCUUUGUGCCCAAUGGGAGGGAAUGGCUACUCCAUGCGCUGGAUCCCCUAUGUGAGCUUGAUCGGUGCAAGCUUUUGCUCAUUUUCUAGAGAAGCUGGUACGUGAGGAAUGAAAUCAUACAUCAUAAACCGGCCCCGGACAUGGAUGUUUCCGUGAAUUUCCUGAGAAGAUACUUGGAUGAAUCAGUGGGGAUUAAAGUGAAUCAUGGUAUGGAUGUGGCUAAGGGUAAGGGAUACCUGUCCUUUGAUCACACUACAGAAGUGAGGGAGAUUCAGAGUGAUGGCCCAGUGUGUAAGUGGCAACCCCCCGCCGAGGGCUGGGUUAAACUAAACACGGACGGGUCCUUUGUUGAUAGUGAUCAUGCGGGUACCGGUAUGAUUCUCCGAAACUCCAGUGGAGGGAUUAUUUUUUCGUCAUGCAGAUCGCUAUUUUCUUGUAGAGAUGUGGUUGAAGCGGAACUAGGUGCAAUCAUGGAGGGUUUAUCGCUGGCUAUACAACGCUCCGAUUUGCCUAUUGUUAUCGAAUCAGAUUCUAGUUUGGCAGUGUCCAUGGUAUCUUCUGGCGAAGUUAAUCGUUCAAUUUAUGCCAAUUUAUGCCGCUUUGGUUAAUGAAAUAAGACUGCUGAUGCGUCUUAGACAAACUUAUAUUACUCAUAUUAUGAGAGUCCAGAAUAAAGCUAGUGAUAGUUUGGCUAGGUUUGUUCGAAUUGAGGAGCGAACUAUGACUUGGCUAGGAUCUGGGCCAGAGGAGGUCUUGGGUAUAUCCCUUGAUGAUUGUAAAGACAUUGAUAUCUGAGUAAUACAAGUGUUCUCGCAAAAAAAGAAUUUAAACCAAAAAUCAAACCGAAUUCUUGUUUGGUUUUUGUUUACAUGAAAUUUGAUGUUCGAUUCUUACUUCAGUUCUUGUCGCCAAAAAAACCGUUUAGCCCGAAGAAACUGAUCUGAAUUGUGUUUGCUUGUAUGAAGCACUACCAUAUAACUUGUUGCUUGGAUGUCCUCUUCUUUUUCCAAAUCUGAUUUAGUUUGGUGCACCUAAAUACCAAAUUAAUUGAACUGAAAUAUUCAGUUUAUUUAUUUUGUUUUUUUACAAACCAUAUUUCAGUUUGCAUUUUGUAGAAACCGAUUUUUUUGAGAAAUCGAAUAAACCGAAGCAGUUACACUGAAUAAACCGAAUGCCCACCACCCUAACUAUCAUUCAAACAUUUUAAUUUUUAUUCAAAAAAUUUCAAUUUCAUUCUAUUUUAGGGUUUUUACAAGGAUUUGAACAAAAUUUAAAUCUAAACAUACUACGCCCUAAUUACUCGUUGUCGGACCAGUUGAAGUUGUCGAUGACGACCAUUGAUUUGCCUAUAGCAUCAUUGAGCCCCGACAGGUUCUCCGGGCCGUCGAGGUCGAGGUGGCGCGCCGAAACCCAGCCUAGUGACGUCAUUGAUUCGUGUAUCACCUGCAGGAACCCCAGUGAGUCUUCGGGUCGCGGGCUCUUUGGGGACGUUGUACGCCGCUAGCACGAACGGUACCUUCGGCUCUGGCUCGGGCUUGGGGUGCGGUGGUUGCCAGGUGCCCCGGAGCUCGCCUGCUGUCAGGCUUUCGGUGGUGCCUGUCCCCAUCAUCGGCUCCGUUGUCAUGCCGAAACGAGCGAGCUCCUCCGUCUGCUCGAUGGUAAGGUUGCGCGGCCAUCCUCCCGUCGAGGUUGUGCCGCGCCGCCGACUGCUAACGGCCCCGCUGUUGCCGUGCCACAUGGUCAUCGGGGGUGGAGGCCUAGGCCUAGGAUUCGGUUGUGGUGGGCGCAUAUGUGGGAGUGAAACCGACGGUCAAGAGGGGUGCAAUGAGGGCGAGUGGUAGACUGGCAUGGUGGCUGGUGUACUGCCGCAACUAGUGGUCGCGCAAGUGAUGCGUGUGGCAGACGACGAGUUGCCUGUGGGAAACCGCUGCGGUCAGAUGUUUGACUAGUUGACCGUCCUGCGGCCGUUCGCACGCCACCGACAUGUUCCCCACGUGCAACCGAGUGGGCGUGCGGAGAGAUCGGGUGCGUGCCUAUUUUUUUAAAAAUGACCAUCAUAACUUUAAUUACGAAGGGGAUGGACAAAUCGCCCCCAUCGACGUGUUUAGGGGGUGUACCAAAGGAGAAGUCUUCUUGUUAUUCCGGUUUUUUUUUCAUAAUGUUUCUCAUUUGCCCCUUGUCCAAAUUUUGUGGAUUAUAUACUUUCUGGCCAUUAUUAAGUUUGGAGGAUCUGGUUUUGUCUCCAACUCAUGUCUUACUUUUUGUUGAAAACAGAAAAGAAAAGAAAAGAAAAAAGGAUCACACAUUAGCGGAGGAUGCUGCUGCCGACGCGGGCGGACACACGAGAUGAGACGACCGCAAGUUGUUCCGGGUCAACGAUUAGUUUCCACUUCCACUACUUCCUUUCUGCUUCUUUCCUUCAUCUCUCGCUCUCUGCGGCGACUAGGGUGGUCGCGCCGGGUCUCCCCCCAAACUGCGACGGCGCCGGCGCCGAAGGUACUCUACUGCUCGUUUCGUCCCCAUCCUCCUCUGUUCCAUACAUUUCUUUCGAUCUAGUUAGCGCACAGUUCCCUUCUUUCUUUCAUUCUUCCCGGUUUUGAUGUUGCAGAGUUGGAUCCGUUCAACAUUCGCUCAGCAGAGGUGGGUAGUUGCUGUUCGGUGUUCCUCACUUCCUCGGGAUGCUCUUCUUCAGCUCCUGCUCUUGAUUGAGCCAAGCCAGGUGAUGCAUUCUUUUGUGCCGUCCGUCACAAGAUCAGCUUUUGCUCAUCCUGAAACCGUGCGUGUAGAUCCAGAGCAAGGGGAGGGUCAGAUCUUGCCCGGCCUGUUUCUGCCAUCCUGAUUAAUCUCUUGUUUGCUAUGCUAUUUUUAUUCUGUGACGCACAAACAGCAAAAUCUGGUUCCUGGACAUUUUUAUUUUUACUCUAAUUAUAUUAUUGUGAAAAUGUUAGCAGAUAUGUACAUCAGGAAAAGAAAAAGGAAUAAUAAGUAAGAUUAAAUAAAGUAAAGAUAAUAAAUGGUCAGUGGUCAGAGCUUAGUAUAUCUAUCCAAGCUCGGAGGGAUGCUGCAUUUUUUUCUUUCUUUUCACUCUGCCCAGCUUUUCCAAACAAAAUCAGAUCAUGCUUCUCCAAACAAAUUAGUACUACCGUGAGAUGUUACUUUCACGAAACACAAAUGUCCAGCUUUUGCUCAUCCGGUGUCCCUCUGAAAACAGUUAGUAGGAUUGUUGGUUAUUCUGAUAUGAAUUUAUUAUGUGCAGAAUUGGAUCUAGUCUCCAGUACUUCAUCUUGGGUUGCUGUUGCAAAGGACUCUGCAGAUUGGAUUUGAAGGAGCUGCUAUUCAAGGUAAUCUUCUUCUGCUUCUGCUUUGGAAGGAAGCAAUGCAUAGGCGCAUAGUGUACUGUUACUUUCACCGACCAAUCAAGUUCAGGUUUUCCUUAUUCUGUCUUCUGAAAAACAUAAUGUUUUCAUUCCAGAAUUUCACGCCAAGGACAGUGCUAUAGCCGUCUGUAGAUCAGAGUGCAAAGACAAAAAAAAUAUUCGAGAUAUGGAGGCCGCUGCUGGGGCGUUGAGCCCUGUCCUCCGUAAGCUCGGUGAGCUGCUCGCUGGAGAAUACAACCUGGCGAAGCGAGUAAAGAAAGGUGUACAAUCACUUCGUACAGAACUGGAGAUGAUGCACGCCGUACUUCGUGAGGUUGGCAAGGUCCCGCCGGAUCAGCUCCAGGAGCCGGUCCGGAUUUGGGCUGGCAAGGUGAGAGACCUCUCUUGCGACAUGGAAGACGCUGUUGAUGACUUUCUGGUGCGUGUGGAUGAGGGUCCAAGCAGCAAGCCAACGAACAUGAGGAAUCGUGUCAAUAAGUUCCUCAAGAAGACCACCAAAUUGUUUGGUAAUGGCAAAGCACUUCAUCAAAUCUCUAGUGCCAUCAAAGAAGCUCAGGACCUUGCCACGGAGUUGGUGGGGCUGCGUAAAAAGUAUGAGCUUGACACUCGUAGCACUAGCAAUGGUGCUACCAUUGACCCUCGUGUGUUAGCUCUGCACAAAGAUGUAGGGGAGCUUGUUGGCGUUGACCGCACAAGGGAUGAGGUUAUCCAAACACUGAUUUGUGAGGACGGGAGUUCCAAGGAGCAAUUGAAGACGAUCUCUAUUGUUGGUGUUGGUGGGCUAGGCAAGACAACACUCACCAAAGCAGUCUAUGAGAAGAUCAAAACCCAAUUUGAUUGUGUGGCUUUUGUCCCCGUGGGUCAGAACCCAGAUAUCAAGAAAGUUUUCAAGGACUUACUCUAUGGCCUUGACAAUGAAAAGUUCAGUGACAUUCAUAAUACAACAUGGGAUGAAAAUCUACUCAUCAAGCAAAUCAGUGAUUUCCUUGUGGAUAAGAGGUAUGCAUCAUGCAGUGCUUGUCCUUUUGUGUAUAUUUCGAAAAUGUGUGAAGUUGGUAGGACUAGGGUUCCUACCGGCUCUACUGCGUAGGUUGUAGGGGCAAGGAGGGAGUGGACGCGGCGAAGAACGGGCGCGCCGGCGGCAGGGCGCCGUCGCGGCUAGGGUUGAGGGCGGCGGCGGCGGCUUGGCUGCGGCGACUAGGGUUUCCGGCUCCUCUAGGAGCCGGGCAGCAAAAGAUAAUAAUAGUCUUUAUUGCUUCCUCAAAAUGAUGUCUUACAUGAGUAUUUAUAAUUUUAGCCUAAGAUAACUUGCCUAAGAUAACUUGUGGGCCAAGCCCCUAAUACUAAUGCCCGGUGGGCCUCUUCCUAGAAUAGACCAAGCCGGUCAUAACAUCUCUCCCCGCCUGCGCAAACAGCUCGUCCUCGAGCUGAAAGUCUGGAUAGUGUUGACGGAAAUCCUCACGCUGCUCCCAAGUAGCCUCCUCCUCCGGAAGGCCCGCCCACUGAAUUAGGACGAACCAGACGCCACGACGGAGCUGGGCCUGCAACACCUUUGCUGGCUCUGGAAGAAUGCGACCAUCGGCGGUUGGAGGAAGCGCCGGAGGAGCCGCUGGUGGCUCGCCACGGAAAGGCUUGAGCAGCCCCACAUGGAACACGUCGUGGAUGCGGGCGCGGGCUGGAAGCUGAAGACGAUAGGCCACCUUCCCAAUGCGCUCCACGACAGGGAAGGGCCCGGCGUAGCGAGGGCCAAGCUUGCGCUUCGCGCGCGGGUCCAGUGACUGCGUAGAGCGAUGGAGAAGAUGCAGCCACACCCAGUCACCCACUGCGAACUCCGCCUCGCGAUGAUGAUCGUCGUAGUAGUGCUUGGCCGUCUGCUGGGCCUGAAGGAGACGCUGACAGACCUCAGCCAGCAUCUCAUCACGGGUGCGGAUAAGGUCACCCGCGACCGCCGUCCGAGCCGUCUCCGGGUCGACCGGAAGUAUAGGCGGGGGUGGUCGACCAUAGACCACCUCAAAUGGCGUCGCGCGCAGGGCGGAGUGAUAAGAAGUGUUGUAGCAGUACUCCGCCCAAGAGAGCCAGUCCACUCAAGUGUGAGGCCGAUCACCUGUCACACAACGCAAAUACAUGGCAAUGACCUUGUUAACCACCUCAGACUGACCGUCCGUCUGAGGAUGGAACGCCGUGCUCAGGCGGAGCUGGACACCCACCAUCCUGAAGAGGUCGCGCCAGACAUGGCCCGUGAAGACUGGGUCCCGAUCACUGACGAUCGACGUCGGGAACCCGUGUAGACGGACUAUGCCGUCGAAGAAGGCCCGGGCCACGGACGCCGCCGUGUACGGAUGGCCCAGCGCGAUGAAGUGGGCGUACUUAGAGAAGCGAUCGACCACCGUGAGGAUGACCGACUUGCCCCCCACCUUGGGAAGGCCCUCGAUGAAGUCCAAGGAGAUAUCCGCCCAAACCUGAGACGGCACCUCCAAGGGUUGAAGGAGCCCCGCCGGCCUCAGGGUCUCUGUCUUGUUGCGCUGGCAAGUCUGACAAGACCGAACCCAGUCGCGGACCAGGGCACGAUCGCCAGGGAUGUAGAAGUCGGCGCGAAGACGAUGGAGGGUUUUCUGCACACCCUCAUGGCCCGCCGAGUGGGCGAGCUGCAACACCUGGUGACGGAGAUCAUCAUGCGCCGGAACAAAGAUCCGGCGCCCAUGGAGGAGCAGUCCGUCAGAGAAGCGCCAGGGCUCCUCCAAGUCGCCGGCCGCGAGCUACUGCUGAAGAAGUGCGGCGUCAUCUGCCGUCGCAGUGGCGCGUCGAAUGUCGGUGAAGAGACCGAACGAUGGCCCGGAGCGGAUGCACAGGGCCGUCCCGGCGGACGCGUCGGCGGGUGGCGCGAGGUUGGAAUCGCGACGGGACAGCGCGUCGGCCACGGUGUUAAGACGGCCUGGCCGAUACUCGACAGAGAAGUCGAAGCCGAAGAGCUUGCUGAUCCACUGGUGCUGCGGGACGGUCGACAGCCGUUGAUCCAGCAAGAACUUCAGGCUGUAGUGGUCCGUGCGAAAGUGGAAGGUCCGCCCCCACAAGUAUGGCCGCCAAUGACGCACGGCCUGGAUGAGGCCAAUGAGCUCCCGCUCGUAAGCUGCCAACUUAAGAUGGCGCGGAGCGAAAGGCCGGCUGAAGAAAGCGAGGGGCCCAUCGCCCUGAUUAAGUACGGCGCCGAACCCGGCGCCCGAGGCGUCGCAGUCCACCACGAACGGGCGGUCGAAGUCGGGCAUCUGGAGGACGGGGCCCGUCAUGAGGGCCCCCUUGAGGGCCUCGAACGCCGUCGUCGCCUCGUCGUCCCAGGCGAAGGCGUCGCGGCGAAGCAACCGCGUGAGGGGCGCCGCGAUGAGUCCGAACUCCCGGAUAAAUUUCCGGUAGUAGCCGGCGAGUCCGAGGAACCCGCGGCGAGUGAGGCGUCGGCCAGGCGGAGACGGCCGCCACCUUAUCGGCGUCCAUAGCCACCCCGUCGGCCGAUAUGACAUGGUCGAGGUAGGCGACGGUAGGCGUCCCGAACGAGCACUUCGAGCGCUUAAGGUGGAGGUGGUGCGCCCGAAGCUCGUUGAAGACGAUGGCGACGUGCUGGAGAUGUUUGGCCCAGGUGGCGCUGUAGAUAAGAAUGUCAUGAAAGAAAACAAGCACAAACCGCCGUAAGUAGGGUCGAAGGACGUCGUUCAUCAGGGCCUGGAACGUCGCCGGGGCGUUGGCGAGGCCGAAAGGCAUCACCAAGAACUCGAAGUGGCCAUGGUGGGUGCGAAACGCCGUCUUGGCGAUGUCGUCCGGAUGCAUGCGCACCUGAUGAUAGCCCGACCGGAGAUCAAGCUUGGUGAAGAAGCGUGCCCCAUGGAGCUCAUCCAAGAGCUCGUCGACCACCGGUAUAGGGAACUUGUCCUUGAGCGUGAGUGCGUUGAGGGCGCGGUAGUCGAUGCAGAAGCGCCAUGUACCGUCUGACUUACGGACGAGAAGCACCGGCGCCGUGAAGGGCGACGUGGAGAUCCGGAUGAUGCCUGCGGCGAGCAUCAGGGCACACUGGCGCUCCAACUCAUCCUUCUGCAGCUGGGGGUAGCGGUAGGGCCGCACCGCCACCAGAGUGGAACCUGGUACGAGGUGAAUAUGAUGGUCGUACACCCGGGCAGGCGGAAGACCCCGCGGAUCGUCGAAGAUGUCGCUGUGCUGCUGCAGAAGAGAAUCCAGCAGGGGGUGCUCGGCCUCCGAGGACGCGGCAGCCAGCUGGAGGUGUGGCACGGUAGGCGCGGCGCCCCCAAUGGCCUCCCACCGGAUGCGGCGGCCCUGCCGCCAGAAUGUCAUCGUGAGCGCGUCGAAAUCCCACAGGAUGGGGCCGAGGGUCCGGAGAAAGUCCACCCCGAGGAUGAAGUCGAAGCAGCCCAGAUCGAUCCCUGCACAAGUGAUGGAAAAGUGUUCGCCGCCGAUGGAGAUGGGAACGUCGUGGGCUAGCCCAUGGCACCGGAGGCGAUCGCCGUUCGCCACUGUGAUCCGCAGGCGCUCCCCGCCCGUCGUCGGGAGGGCUAGCCGACGCAUGGUCGACUCAGGCAGAAAGUUGUGUGUGGAGCCCGUAUCCAGCAGGGCCACCAGUCGCUCGCCAUGGAUCGUCACGGGCAGCAGCAUGGUCUGCUCGCCCCGGAUGCCGGCCAGGGCGUGAAGGGAGACGACGCACGCCGUCGCUGCGGAAUCCGCGGCCGCGUCCUCGGUCGCCGCAGGCGGAUGUAACGGCUCGGGCGAGUCGUCCUCCUCGAUGUAGUCGACCGUCUCUAAAUAAAAGAGGCGGGGGCAGACAUGGGUCGGCGUGUAGGGCUCAUCGCAGUUGAAGCAGACCCUGACGGCGACGCUCCUGCUGCUCGGCCGGUGAUAGCCGACGGAAGGGUCGUGUGGCGGCCGGGGGUGUGGCCGUUGCGGCUGGGAGAGGCCGACCCGGGGCUGAGGAAGUCGGUGCUGGCCGACUGGGCUGGCGGCCGCUCCGUCCGAGUGGCUGCUGCAGUGCCUGGGCCCGCUGCUCGAAGGCCCGGGCGUAGUACAUGGCCGUCUGGAGGUCGGGGGGAUCCCGGAGCUCGACGUCCACGCGGAUAUGGUCCGGCAGACCGCCCACAAAGGUGGCAUGCCGCCCUCGCCCUGCUCGAGGGCGUAGUACCAGGUCUGCGCUGCGCCUCGAAGAUGAUAGGACGCGAGCCAGGUACGAUCCGAAGCGAGCGUCCGCUGCCCUCGAAAGAACUGCUCGCACUGGUUGAGCCAGUUGAGGGGGUCCUCCGUGCCCUCGUAGGUGGCGAAGUCCAGUUUGGCGAAGCGAGGGGGUGUCGGCCCGCCGUGCCCGGGGGCGGCCGCAGUCGCCGCCGGCGCGUAUGCUGGGUCGGGAAGCGCCGGGGCGUAGUUCGCCGAGCUGGAGGGGUGAUCAAACCGCAGGGAGGGCGUCGGGUGUUCCGGCGCCGUGGAGUAGACCGGGCCCGGAGACGAGCCGGUCGCCCAAGCGGGGAUCAGCGAUGGUGACGGUGGAAACUGCACCUGGUGCAGGGGCCGACCCGUAGCCUUAGGCGCGGGUGGUGGUACUGUCGAUGGCGGCGGCGCCUGGUGGAGCUGCUGCAUCGGCGCCUGCGGCGUGGGGGCCGGCGGUGGCGCCGGAAGAAGCUGCUGGGUCGGGCCCCCGAGCGGCGCGGUGGAGGCCGGCCAUGCUGGCCACGGCUGUCCCGCAGCCGAGUAGUGCGGCGGCAGCAGCAGCGGCGGCUGGGACGCCCCUCCGUAGGGCGCCUGGAAGGCCGGGGCGGGCCACUGUAGCGGCAGCGGUCCGUAGGCGGUGGUGCCGGCGCUCGGUGGCGGGGGUUGGUUCCCGGCGAGGUAGAGGGUAAUACCCCUGACCGCCUGGACAAGCUCCCGCAGGGUGCCCGACACCUCGGGCGAGAGGAGCGGAGGCGGGUCCGCCGCGAUGGUGAUGGGCGCUGUCGCGGUGGUGAUGGUGGUGCCGGAUGCGAUCUCCGCCAUCGCGGUGGAAGUGGCCGGCGGCAGCGAGAGCGGGGUGGAGGUGGAUGGUAGCGGCGGCGGUGAUGGAGAUUGUGACAUGAUCGGCUUGGUGUCUCUGGAUACCAAAUUGGUAGGACUAGGGUUCCUGCCGGCUCUACUACGUAGGUUGUAGGGGCAAGGAGGGAGUGGACGCGGCGAGGAACGGGCGCGCCGGCGGCAGGGCGCCGUCGCGGCUAGGGUUGAGGGCGGCGGCGGCUUGGCUGCGGCGGCUAGGGUUUCCGGCUCCUCUAGGAGCCGGGCAACAAAAGAUAAUAAUAGUCUUUAUUGCUUCCUCAAAACGAUGUCUUACAUGAGUAUUUAUAAUUUUAGCCUAAGAUAACUUUCCUAAGAUAACUUGCCUAAGAUAACUUGUGGGCCAAGCCCCUAAUACUAAUGCCCGGUGGGCCUCUUCCUAGAAUAGACCAAGCCGGUCAUAACAGAAGUAGUGGGAUGUAUACUGAACUUCAUAUAUUCAAUUCCAUUUUGGCUAUUUUUAUAUUACUACUGGUCAGUUUCUUCAUAAGAAAAUUCUAUUUCUUUCUUUCUUGUGCAUGCACCUUAUUUUUUGUAGUCUUUUAGACUUAUUUCUGCUGCAUUUCUUACCAUUUUUGCAUGCAUAUCCUCACUGGUUACAGUUAUCCUUGUCACAAAAUUCAGUUGUAUACAUAUGACUUGCCAACUAAUGCUAUCAAAAUAAUUGGCAUAGGUACCUCAUCGUAAUCGAUGAUAUAUGGGGAAAAGACAUAUGGAAAUAUAUUGAUUGUGCUCUCUACAGAAAUAAACUCCAGAGUCGGGUAAUCACAACAACCCGCAAUGUGAGUGUGUCUAAAGCAUGUCUCUCUUCCACUGAUGGCACUAUUCACAGAAUGAAACCUCUUUCUGACGAAGACUCACAAAUACUCUUCCAUAAAAGAAUAUUUCAAAGCAAGGAGAAAUGUCCAGAAGAUCUGCAGAUAGUAUCAAGAGAUAUCUUGAAGAAAUGUGGUGGUGUACCAUUAGCCAUCAUUACAAUAGCUAGCCUCCUCGUUAGUAAUCAGCGGGUAAAGCCAAACCAUGAUUGGAUGGAUGUGUACAAUUCGAUGGGCCAUGGAGUUACACAAAGUGAUAUUGCGAAGGAUAUGAAUAGGAUAUUGUCACUCAGCUAUUAUGAUUUGCCAUCCUAUCUGAAGCCUUGUUUAUUAUAUCUAAGCAUCUUUCCUGAAGACUUUGAGAUUGAGAGAGAUUGGCUGAUAUGGAGAUGGCUUGCUGAAGGGUUUAUCCAAUGUGACAAAGAAGAAACCAGCCUAUUUGAGAUCGGAGAGACCUACUUCAACGAGCUCAUGAACAGGAGCUUGAUCCAGCCAGCAGAAAUCAAUGAGGAAGGCACGGUAGUAACUUGCCGUAUACAUGAUAUGGUGCUUGACCUUGUAUGCUCACUGUCAAGUGAAGAGAAUUUUAUCUCCAUAUUGGAUAAUGAUAACUGGCAUGCACCUAAUAUGCAAAGGAAAUCUCGCAGGCUAUCACUUCAUAAUAUCAAGGCAAAGGUUCAGAACCAUCAGUUUGAUAGCACUAGCCUGUCAAAAGUGAGGACCUUUGCUGUUUUUUCUCCUGUUACUUGUGAUUGGUUGCCAUCUCUCUCAAGCUUUCAAUUUUUGCGUGUGCUGGAUCUUGGAAAUUGUGGCAGCCAUAAAAGUAGCUCUGGUAUCAGCCUCAAGUAUGUUGGGAAUUUAAUUCACCUAAGGUACCUUGGGCUAAGGAAUGCAGAUGUUGAUGAACUCCCAACGGACAUAGGCAAAUUGCAGCUUUUGCAGACACUGGAUGUAAGAGGCACUGGUAUAGAAGAAUUACCUGCAAGUGUUGUUCAGCUCACAAAUUUGAUAUGCCUAUCUGUCAAUUAUUGGGUGAUGCUGCCAAAAGGAAUGGGGAGCUUGAUGUCCCUUGAAGUGCUGCAACUAGUAGACUUAUCCUUGUCUCCUCACAUUGCGGAAGAGCUGAGCCAUCUGACAGAGGUUAGGACACUCGAUGUUGACUGUUAUAACAUGGACGAGGAUCUGAUUGAUAUAUUAAUCAAGUCUCUAGGCAAGUUGCACAAAUUGCAAAAUCUGCGUAUUGAUUUUGGUGUCAGAUUGAUAGAUCGCAUGCGUGAAAGCUGGGUGCCCCCUCCAAACCUCCGUAGUAGCAUCUUUUCUCCUGUGUGGUUCUCGCGACUUCCAAAGUGGGUUAAUUCGAGUUCGCUUCCCCACCUCUUCACCCUGGAAAUAGAAGUUGAAGAAUUGCAAGGGGAUGACAUUCAGAUCAUUGGGAUGCUGCCUGCUCUUCGGUUUCUGCGGCUGCGUGCAAGACGCGUGAUUGGAAGGUUGGUUGUGAGGGCCGAUGCAUUCCCAUCUGCGAGAUGCUCCAUGUUCUGGGGGUUUCUGACGGCGCCGUGCCUUUUCCCACCUGGAGCUAUGCCAAGGGUUCAACACCUUGGGUUCGAGGUCUCUGCACGAUCGAUCGCAAGUCGUGAGGUUGACUGCGGCAUGGGCCACCUCCCUUCUCUCGAGCAUGUCAAGGUUUAUCUGAAGCGUGAGAAUUCCAGCGAUGAAGAGAUGGAGACAGCCAAGGCUUGGCUGAGGCGCGCAGCACAAGCCCAUCCAAAAUGUCCGACCAUUCAAAUCUAUGGUCAGUGACGUGCCUCUGCCGCCGGUAAGGUACGGUCUGCUCAUCUGAGCAGCCAUGAAUCCUCUUUCCCUGAAUACGCUCAUUGCCACAUUGUUUGAUUUAUCCCUCUUACUUCCCCAAUUUCAGGGCUUCAACAAAAUCCUGGAUAUGCAGGUACUAGUAAUUCCAUCAGUUGCCGUGGAUGCUGUUCCAACAUUUCAACACGCAACAAACAAUUCACUGUACCGCCACAACUCCCAAUAAACGACAGAGGCUUCCGCAUGAUUGUUCAUGAUGAACUAUUUAUUUCUCCUGCGUUUGUUUUCAGAAACGCAGCACCUCCUUUCCUUUAUUAUUCAGUCAAGACUCGUACAAUAAGAGGCUACAUUCAGUUGGCACUAUUUGUAGAACUACUGCCUCUACGUGCAUUUGAUUGUUCACAUACAGCAUCGUUUUGUUUUUACUGGCUUAUUAAUUAAGAGUUGAUUGAACUUAGUCAGCCUUGUUUUGCUUUGUUUGGCACUUGCUUAUUCAGUCAAUGAAAGGCAGUUGCUCCAGAUUUGCUUCAUCCUGUUCGUUAAGCUUUCUCUUCUUGCUGCAACUCCUGCUAUCAAGCUCGUGAGAGAUAGAGCCACAAACGCUUAGAUGUUUAUAGCGAUGGUGCAUACCAUACCACUCACUAUUGAUCUUCAUGCCUCAAGGUUACAUACACAAGUGCAAAACUGAUGGCUACAUUAAACAUAAGAAAAUUUAUAGCAUUUUGUAUGAAAAAGAAAAACCCACAACAACCAACCGCCGCCCACUUGCUCCUGUUCCGCAUAAUUGGAACAUAUUUUCUUUCUAGUAGAUUAUCAAUUGGACUAACGAAAUCAAUUCAAUGGUAGAUUGUCAAUUGGACUAGCAAAAUUGAUUAUCUGCAACUGACAGCCAAUCUAAUGGUAUGAUUGAGUGAGCCGAGUAGUGGGUUGCUAACAGGAUUCCCCAUGCUGGAAAUCUACAGAGAAAUAGACAACCAAAUCCUCUCCAAGGAAUGAGAUUGAGAACUGCUCCAGACUGCUUUCGCUUCCUCGUAUAUUCUUUAAGCAGAAGGAAAAAAAUCCACAUAAAACAACAAACACAAGCACAAGAAUCCAUAUGCUACGCGGAAAUUUGACCACCACAGCUCUUGUCAUCUAAUAUUGUUGAGAGUUUCAUACUAAUAUUGUUGAGAGAUUCUGCUGGAAAUAACUGCUGCAUAACUACUGACUAAAACAUAAGAAAUCUACAGCAAUGCUGUAUUGCAAAAACCUUGGCGCCCACAGCAGCCAACCAUAUAACUCGCCUGCUUUCCCUCUCUCGGCUUUUCAUUAGGCACAUCCCAGAUACUUAUUUUUUGUGACGUAAUACAUAUUUCAAUCAAACUGGUGAUCUAGAAAUGCACAAGAGCCUUGUAAACCCAGAGAAUAGGGUGACAACUCUUAAAUAGGGCUACAACUUCAAACAGCAACCACUAAAUCACGGUCAGUCCGCAUUCAAACACAAUAUUCCAAUCAGUCAGUCGGAGUUCAUUAACCAGGACAACAUUACAUAAUCCAUAAUCCACCACAAUGUAAAAAUCUCAUGACGGCCACAGAAAUUAGGCAGCCAUCGUUCACGGACUAUCGCAUCUUACGGAAAAUGCUGAAACAUCUUCAAGCAGAAGGGGAAAAAAUCCACAUAAAACAACAUACACAAGCACAAGAAUCCAUAGGCUACACGGAAAUUUGACCACCACAGCUCUUGUCAUCUACCCUUAACACGCCAUCUCCUUUUGAUUCUCUGGGUGAGGCAAUUAUUUACAGCUAGCGACAUUUUAUGGCGGCAGGAGGACCGAAAACUUUCCAUAUGAAUGAAGCCGAUCAAAGGAACUCCACCUACUGGUAAUCAGGGUUGAACGCGAUGCCCUCUUG